RNAcentral lists this long non-coding RNA (54078 nucleotides) under Sorghum bicolor (sorghum). RNAcentral describes it as "long non-coding RNA (SBIC_LNC017830)". The record is from RNAcentral. Lineage: Eukaryota; Viridiplantae; Streptophyta; Magnoliopsida; Poales; Poaceae.
UCUUUUGUGGUAUUUCUGGAUCCUCACCAAGGCAGUGAUGGUAUAUGCCUUCUCUCAAGAUAUGUAGUAUUUGUGGUAUAAGGCAUAAUGACAUUGCCUUCUCUCUCUCUCACCCUACUCUAAUAAGGCUUUAAUAUCUGGAGCUCAUAGGUGGGAGAUAAAGUAUACAUACUCACAAGACAUUUAUUGUAUAGUCAAACCAUGGAUCCAAAGAAACAAAUCAAUAAGUCAAAUCAAGAUGUGCAUGUGUGGCGAAUGAAUGGUGUAUGGUGAUGAUGGUGAAAGUCUAAUUCUACUUUUUCUCUUUGAGGGGAUACAUACCUUUCUUGCCCUUUGAAACUUUUUGAGGAGAAUGAGAUGCUCUAUCUUUUCUUUUUCUUUCCUCUUAGGUGGGUAUCUUGUACCCCUAAUUCUACUGUCGGACACUUGUCCAUUUUUACCUCUCGUCUUACUUUUCCUUUCAUUUCUUUCGAGGUUCUGGGCACUUGCCCCUUUUUAUUUCCUCGUAUCUUUUCUCUCUUUUUUUAGAGCACUCAUCUCUUGAAAUAAUAUAGCAAGUGGUAGUAACAAGAUAACUUGAGCAUUUAUUUCUCAGGGGAAAAAUAGAAAUAUUUUUUGGUAUUCUCUCCCGGAUUAGGAGUAGAAUAUUUUUGGGUGGUUCUCGAGGUAGUAAUGAGUGGAUAUAUGUGGAUGCGUACUUCCGGAGUAGAAGCAGCAUGUGUGAGUGAACGUGCAAAUGAAUCUUGAAUUAACCACAUGACAAGCUCCUAAGGGUCUACACAGCUUGACCACACUCAAUGCUCAUAAGUAGUAAAAAGUAAAUGUGUGGCUCAAAGUCUAGCAAGCAUGUACAUAUGGCUGUGGUAGGAAUUUAAACUCUCAUCAUACAGGAACUCAUCAUGCAAUAUUUUAAAGAUUUUUCAAAGAUAAAAUUCUCCAGAAUUCUAGCAUCUCUAGGAACAGAUAAAUAGCAGCUCAACCUUUCCAUAUCAUAUCCGUUAACAACUUAGACUUCAGAUCAAGUUUUCUUCCCACAAGUUUAGGUUUAGAGCAAGCUUUAAAUUAUAACAGUUAUAUCUAAACUUGAGAGAGAACUUCAAUUCGAAAAUUAGGCAGAACAACUAUUCAUCAUAUCCAUGAUAGAGUUUUAUUAUUAAGGAUUCAGUUUAGCAUAGCCACUUUAUUUAUUUAUUAAACAAACUAAGCAAAAGUUAUAUAUAAGCACAAAAUAUUUAUUUGGGUUUCCAUAGUUAUGUAUAUCCAUAUUUUAAUAUAGUAUAAGUAUAAAGAUAGAUAGAAAUACUUAGCGGGAUAAAUAUGGGUGCUCUCCCUCAAGCUGGAUUUUGAUGUAAUUUCUUUUGAUGUAGCUAGCAGGUGGCAGAGGUGUAUUUGAAAGUCGGCAGUAUCUUGACAGCGAUUAAAAUGUCCUCCUUCUGCUAGUCUUCUCGAUUCUUAAAUUCUGUGGAGCUCAAAUAGACAACAAAGCUUUGUGGAACUGAUUAAGUGUUAACAUAAAUAUCUAGCCUUUAUCAUGUUGAGCUUCCUCCAUAAAUGUUACUCUCUAUUUUUAUAUUUUCAUUUUAGAAAAUAGAAAAAAAAAAUUUAUUUUAUUUUUAUGCCACCACAGUGAAUGUACUUAUGGGUUUUAUGCUACUCGUAUAUUCACAUGGGGCUUAUUAUUUUUCAUAUUUUAUUUUAUUUUUAGGAUAGUAUAAACAUGAUUAACUAAGCAAACUGUUUAAAUAAUUGAAAGGGAAAGGAUAACUACCAAGUUUACCUCUUGGCAAGGCGUUCGGUGUUUUUAAGUCCUCCAAACGGGACUCUCCAUUUUCUAGUUGUCCUGGGAUUCGUUGGGUGGCGUAGUCGGUACUUCCGGCAGCGCCUCCUCUUCAUGUAUAGUUAUCUUCUCUUUCCACAUCUGACUCGGUGCUACGGUCUCCUCUGGAUAAUUCUGUUUAAACUGUAUGUCUUCUGACCUUAUCACUUCUCCUUCGUAGUCUGUCCAUCCGUCCUUGAUGAUUUGCCUCCUCUAGUUACGGUUGCGUUGUUUUCUGACCUGCUUAGAGUCUUCAACGAUAUAGUUAGGGUCAGUAAAAUAGCGGCGUACCUUCUCUGAGGGGAAGUGCAUAUGGACUUCUACAGUUCCAAUACAGAUGAUUGCUUUAACGGUGCUGAGGAACGGUCUUCCAAGGAUGAUGGGUGGAUCGUAUUCGUCUUCUCCCAUGUCAAUAACCUAAAAGUCUGUGUAGACAAAAUGAUCGUCUAUUUUGACAGGGACGUCAGUUACUAUCCUUUAACCUCUCAAAAUGUCUGAUCUGCCAUCUGGAGCUGAAUGUAUGUCGGCUUUAGGGGCAUUGUUCCGAACAAGAGCCGAUAGGUGACUGCGGCCAUUAUGUUGACGCCCGAUCCGGUGUCACAACUCGUCUUGUAGAAGUUAUACCCAUUGAUGGAGCAAUAGAUGCUUAGCAUUCCUGGGUCGUCCUUCUGGGUCAGAAAUGGUGACUUAAGUCGAUGAUCUUGACAUCCUUGAACUGCAGUGACCAUCUUAGCUGACUCGGUCCACACUUGCUUGUUCCUGUUCCUCCUGUUGGUCCUCUUCCUUGGUUCAUGUCGAGAUUGAUCUGGGAUUUGUGUAGUCUUGUUCUUGAAGGAAAACGUCUCCGUCCUCCCUUCAAUGUAUAAACUGAUCUUGGCAGCACUAGCGUAGAUGAUAGCUCCCGAGGUGUUUAAGAAUGGCCUCCCUAAGACGAUGGGUGACCUCUCAUCAUUACUGGUCUCUAUCACUACAAAGUCUGCUGGGGCGUACAAUGUACCAACUCGGACGCAAAGGUUCUUCAAUAUUCCUUUGGAAAACUUAUUGUCUGAUCUGCAAACUGCAAACACAUGGUUGUUUCUACUAAAGGAUAUGUAAAGAAUUUUUCAUAGAGUACCCUGGGCAUAAUGUUGACACUAGAGCCAAAGUCGCAGAGUGCUUCUGGGAAGUCCACCAUGCCGAUGGAGAUCGGGAUGACGGGGUCCUGGAUUGCCUCUCUUGACCGGCAGAAGGUCAGUAGUAACUUCAGUGACGGGGUUACUCCAGUAGUUACCUGCAUCAAACAUGUCUACAAGAUUUGUAGAUUCUAAUCCUUCCGGUUGUGAUGGUAUACCGGGGUUAGUAGCAGGAACAACAGCAGCUAUUUGAUUUAACUGGGAUUCAAUCAUGUUAUUAAAGCUAAUUUGAUUCUUGAUGGCAGUAGAGAAAUUAUCCAUUCUGUUAUUUAUAUUUUCUAGCAUUUUAUCAUUAGAUGCUAAUUUCUUAGAUAGGUUAUCCAUUAGCUUUCCUUGAUUAGACACUAACUCUCUCAGAGGUGGAAAAUUAUUAUUAUUAUUAUUAUUAUGAGAAUUAUUACCUUGAUAAUUACCUGAGUAGUUAGGCCUCUGUUGAUUCCAACCUUGAUUUUGUUGAGGACGGUUGUAGUAGUAGUUGUUGUUAUUGUUGAUGUAGUUCACAUCCUCAAGUAUCUCAGGGUAGUGAUUGACUGAGUGUCCAGUAUCUCCACACUCCUCACAAGUCAAGUGAGAGUCGUAGAUGUGCAUAACUUCUUUCUUAUCUCCAGCUCUAUCAUCGAGCUUCUUCAUGAGCAGGUCUAGCUUUGCAGACAGCAUGUCUAGCUCCUAGAGCUGAUGCACACAUCCACCUUUCUUGCGUGUCUGGGUCCUUUCUUCAUUCCAGCUUUGGUUGGACGCCAUCUUCACCACAAGAGCUGUGGCUUGUGAUAUGGUAAGUGAUAGGAAUGCUCCUCGAGCUGCAGCAUCCAUGGUCUCUCGGGCACUGUUGCCGAGCCCAUUAUAAAAUGUCUGCAUCAGUAGCCAACUCUCCAUUCCAUGAUGGGGACAAUCUAGGAUGUAGUCUUGGAAGCGCUCUCAUGCUUCUGGAACGGAGAGCAUUGGUCUUGCCCACGGGAAAGAACUUAGCUAGAAAGUUCGUGCAGCAGAGUGCCCACGUAGUAUUCUUCUCCUUUGUAGUGUAGAACCACUGCUUCGCUCUCCCUAACAGCAAGAAUGGGAAGAGGCGAAGUAGUAUAGCAUCUCUGGGGACUCCUGAUAUGGUGAAUGUGUUGCAAAUCUCCAGGAAGUGUUGGCGAUGAGCACUAGCAUCUUCGUGUGCCUUCCCACAGAACUGGUUGGAUUGCACCAUGUUGAUAAGUCCAGGCUUGAGCUCAAAGUUGCCAUCAAUCUCUUCAGCAGGUCCAGUACGGAUGUUGUCUGUAGUGGGAGCUGAGAACUCGCAGAUCGAUUUGUUCGCCAUGGCUUCGAACUCUGAAGACAAGUUCCGGUGAUCUUCUUGAUUGGAUGAAGCUUCUUGCUGAAGUGUUGAUGAUCUCUUCUUGAGCUUGGCUCUUGUUUUUUAAAAAAAGCUUCAGGAUUGUCAACAAAAUUUCCUAGAAGAUGUCUUCUAUUCAUUCAUUCCCCUGCAUAAGAUAAAAUAGAAAAAUAUAGGGGUAAAACUGUAUGAGAGAAUUGAUAAGCUCAAUCAUAUUAGUGGUGCGAAUGAUAACUCAAAAUCUUAUAUUCAUUCCUGAUUAGUAAUCAACCUUCCUCGGCAACGGCGCCAAAAAUGCUUGUUGGGCAUUCUUAAUGUCACUACCAAAAGUAGACUUAGUUUUCUAAUUCUGAUAACGGCGCCAAAAAUGCCAAACCUAUCCCUCAUACCACUUAAGCCAAGUUGUCAUCCUCAGCAUGACAUGAGAGACACGGUAUUGAAAUAUGCAAUUGCUCAUCUAAAUAAAUAACAAAUGGGAUCUGCAAGCGCACAGAUUAAUACCGAUGUAGCAUUUUAACCGGGAAGUAUUCCAGGUAUCGUUAUUUAUAUUUUUACCACUAGGAAGGGAUUAGCAAUCAUCAAUGUUGAUUAUAGAAUGGAAUAUAAGAUUGAGUAUCUAUCGUUGCAUGUAUAAUUGAGAACAUUUAUCUAACUCUUUCAUACAGGGAUAAGUGUCACAUAAAGGAUAUAUAAAGUAAUGAAUACUGACAAAGGUAAUUAAUCUAAUCAGCAUAACUUAGCCACAUAAGAGAUAUGAUAAGCACCUCAAUUAGAUAUUCUAGCAAGUCAUUAGCAUGGAAUUAGAACGAACUACAAGAAUAUUUCGUAAGUUAUUCUUAACUAUACAGUCUAGCAUAUCAUAGUUAGUGCAAUUAUACUUAGCAAUCAUUGUGAGACAGGACUACGCCCAUGCAUAGUGAUAUUAGCAAGGAAUAUGAGAAACAUCGUAAUCACUCUCCUGUAAUAAUGUUGCUCUGCCAGCCCAAUACAUGAGAGUGGGACUAUAUAAGAAUCAAUAGAGCUGUCACUACCACGAACUACCCCACGAUCUGGCAUAUAGGGUACAAUCGCAGAUAAAUACGGUAUAAGCACCACGCCUACACAAUAUCUAUCAUUUACCCAUGGAUCCGAUGGAUAAACGCUAUACGAUCCUAAACAUGUAUAUAGAUCCAAUCUAACUAAGCCAAGUAUAUAACUAUGACAAACUAAGAACAAUAUAAUUGCGAAUAUAAACAAGUAGAGCAAAGUCAUAAUCAAUAUAUUUGUUGACAUCGUUUUUGGACACGUAUCUUUUGACACGUACCUAGAGUUAAUGAAAUAUAGAUCGGCAGAUGGAGCAAUGGUGACUAGUCUACAGGGGAGUUGCCGAUGAAGGUGGUUGCCGAUGGGGAGACAACCGAAUAUGACUAAGUCCAGAAGUGAUGACAUAUUCGUGCCGAUGACCAGUGCCGGUGUUUGCCGAUGGCUGUAACAGGUAGUCUGCCGAUGACUCUGGAGAAAAGCGCGGAGGUUGCCGAUUGAUUCUUGGUAGUGUCCCGAUCGGUUACGAGGGAUAGUUUAAUGUUUUCCUUAGUUAUUAGAAUUCGUUUUGUAUUUGGGUUCCGUUUAAUUUCGAAUUCGAGUCCUAGUCAUGUCUGGUUGUAGCUCUUUGGACAGGGUAUAAAUGUAAACCCAAGGGCAAUGUAAUGAAAGAUCAAUCAAUCAAUAAAACACAAGUUUUUACUCAUAUUCCAGCAUCUAUUUUCGACGACUUCGUCAUAUUUUCCUUUUUACUAUGAGUUCUUAGGAAUUCGUCGAGUCAAACUCGGCGUGUUCUCAAGUUCCGCGUGAGCACCUCUUGGCCAUGACAUCCGGGCGCAUCGCUGUUGUCGAGACCAAAGUGUUUGAGUUACCACCUGUUGAUACCGUUUUUGGACACGUACCCAGGAUCGGUAGAGUGUAGAUCGGCAAGAUAAGGCAACAGUAACUGGUCUGUAGGAGAGUUGCCGAUGAGGGUGGUUGCCGAUGAAGGGACAGCUGAAUGUGACUAAGUCCACGGGUGGUGAUGUGUUUAUGCCGAUGGUCAGCAAUAACCUGUGCCGAUGGCUACGAUGAGGGGUAUGCCAAUGAUUCGGAAGAAGAACCUGAAGGUUGUCGGUUGGCCUGUGGUGGUGUCCCAGUUUGUCACGGGAGGAUAGUUUUAUGUUUUCCUUAGUUAUUUAAAUCGUUUUGUAUACGGAUUCUGUUUAAUUUGGAAUUCGAGUUCUAGUCGUGUCUGAUUGUAGCUCUUUGAGCAGGGUAUAAAUGUAGACCCUAGGGCCUUGUAAUCGAUAUAUCUAUCAAUCAAUCAAACACAAGUUUUUACUCAUAUUCCAGCAUCUACUUUUCGACGACUUCGUCAUAUUUGCUUUUUCAUUACGAGUUCUUAGGAAUUCGUCGACUUAAGCUCGGCGUAUUCUCAAGUUCCGCGUGAAUACCUCUUGGCCGUGGCAUCCGGGCGCAUCGCUGUUGUCGGUACCAAAGUAUUCGAGUUAUCACCUUUGCCGAUAGUAAGGUCAAAUCGGCUGGCACGCCUUAACGAUUGAAUCGGGUAUUAGCCCUUUGUGUUUGCAGAUCAGCUUUUGCAACUUUUGGCACGCCCGGUGGGACAGAUUCAAGAUCAAGAUCGACAUGGCGACUAGCGAAUUCGAUUUGGAGAACGUCAUCCCCAUGAUGGAAGCUAGCCUCAAAGAUGAGCAGAAGCAAGCUAUUGCGAAGGCUAUGGAGGAUUACAAGCAACAAUGUCUCAAGGCCUUCAGCAUAAAUAGGAGUGGCGAGGUGAUCCAGAAGGAAGCACUGCCGGCCCCUCAGCAGGUUACUUUUGAAGCCAAUCCUGGUAAACUCCAAGACAUGGUCGAUAGUGCUAUCAGCCGUGCCUUGAUCAACCAAGCUGGUGUGCUGUCCAAUACGGUUUUCAAUGCCGUGGCUAGAACUUUCAAAGAAGGACAAUUGCCACCGAACUCAUCAACCAGGAUCGCCAGUGGUUACGGCUCCAUCGGCUGCUAUGGCCGCUGCAGGCAUAGAAACUACUGUUCCUCCAAGCACGCUAGGAGUCUCUAAUGCGCAAUCCACGCCGAUGCCGUCCAAUGCAACAACAUCAGAUGAGUCGAUCAAGCUUACUACAGAUCUAUUGGCAUCGGCAAUGUCGGGAUCUGUUCCUCCUAAUUGGUGGGGUUUUUGUAUGCCCCCGGAAUACUUGUUAAAGACACCGGGUACAUCUCAGGCAGCUGAUAAGAGAGGCAAGGCUCCUAUGGCAUCGGCACCUCCAAAUAUGCCGAUGAAUCACAGUCUCCAGUAUACUACAACUACUAUUGCAAGACCUUACACUAGGAAUUCUCAAGCUCCAACGUUCCAGAUGCCUAAUGCAUCGGCAGAUUCAAUGCCGACGCAACAGAGGUUUAUGACUCAGCCAGGGUAUGUCAAUUCAAUGAUGAUGCCCAAUUACCAGUCAUCGGCAGGACCUAUGCCGAUGAAUGCUAAUAGUGGAUGGCUUGGGCAGCAAGUCUUUCCACAAAUGCCCCAACAGAAUCAUCAGGUUACAGGGUUUCAACAAGGCCAGACCUACCCUGGAUUCUAGAACCAAGGGGUGGUCAAUCAGCCGAUGAAUCUCGGCCAGCAGGUUGGUGGUUAGCAGAUCGGUGGUCAGCAAUUUGGUGGUCAACAUCUUGGUGGUCAGUAGCUCGGCGGUCAGUAGGUUGGUGGCCAAAUGAUUAACCCAAUGUUCCAUGCAGAUCGUGCACCACACAGACAUGUGGAAGCUUACCAGCAGGUGCCAGAUCCACAACCACCUCAUCGGCAAGAUGCUGAUGCUUAUUGGGCCGAUAAGACCCAAAGUCAAUACUUAUUCUUAUCAGACACCAUAUCCUCCUGCAUAUGAUUUAAUCCUGCUUCCAAAUCGGUACAAAGUGCCAGAUUUUACUAAGUUUUCUAGGCAGGAUGAUACAUCAACCAUAGAGCAUGUCAACAGGUUCAUCAUUUAGUGUGGAGAAGCCGCUAACAGGGAUGAGUUAAGGGUUCGCUUGUUCUCGUCAUCAUUAUCUGGAUCGGCUUUCACUUGGUUUAUAUCAUUACCUCCUAACUCAGUGAUUACUUGGGCCGAUCUAGAGAAACAAUGCCACAAAUACUUCUUUUCUGGUGUCCACGAGAAGAAGAUCACCGAUUUGGUCAAAUUGAAGCAACGCAAUGAUGAAUCAGUUAAAAGUUUCGUGCAGAGAAUACGGGAAGUCAAGAACAAAUGCUAUAGCCUGGUUUUGGAUGAUCGGCAGCUAGCUGAUUUGGCUUUCCAGGGUUUGUUGCCACAUAUCAGGGACAAGUAUGCAUCUCAAGAGUUCGAAAGCUUAAGUCAUUUGGUGCAGAGGAUUUCUGAUCAAGAUAUCAAGCCUUUUGAGCCCAAGAGAGCAUGGAACAAAAAGGUAUCAUUUGUGGAUGAAGCAGCAAGCUCGGACUCUGAUGAGGAACCAGUCAUCGGCUUGGCAGAGUGGGCAAAGAAUAAGAAGCUGAUGUCUUGUCCUUUUGGGCACAAAGAGCCGGAGAAGUUCGCAUUUGACAUCACUAAAGCCGAUAGGAUAUUUGACUUUCUACUUCAGGAAGGUCAGAUCAAAUUGUCACCCAAUCAUGUAAUCCCAUCGGCUGAAGAAUUAAAGAAGAUGAAGUACUGCAAAUGGCAUAAUGCAACUUCUCACAGCACUAAUGAGUGCAAAGUUUUUAGACAAUAGCUGCAAUCGGCUAUAGAAUCUGGGAGGAUCAAGUUCGACAGCUCCAAAACUCAGAAGCCGAUGAAGAUUGAUCAACAUCCUUUCCCAACAAACAUGCUGGAUGCUAAGGGAAAGGCCAAGGUCUUGACAUCGGAAGCAGCUAAAAGAAGUGCAUCGGUGGAUCCUCAGCAUCAGAUCACUACUGCCGAUGCAAAAGGAAAAGGCUUAAUCCAGGAAGGAAAUGGCUCAGGAAGGCCUCCCCGAUCUGGUAUUGUCAUAACUCAUAGAAGGCCUCGGGAGACUUGGCAGCAACGUGAGGAUCGGUAUCGGCGCCAGCAAGAAGACUAUCAUCGGGAAGAAGAAAGAAGCUGACAAGAAUGGAAUCGGCAUAGGGAUCACUGGAAUUCUCCAUUCUUUAUCCAUUGUUGGGAGGAAAAUAUCAAGCUUCCUACUGCAGGGACUGCCCGGAAUGUAAUGGUUACGAUCGGUAUGAUAGAUCAAAUCAGCAGUAUCAGAGCAAUAACCGUCGGUUUGAUUGGACGAUUAGGGGGAGAGCGUCGGUUCAUCAUCGGCUGGGGGCAGACUCAGUGUGCAUGAUAGGCUUGGAGAUCGAGUUGAAUAUUUUCCCAGGAACCAAGAAGAGCUUGAGGAGAUGGCUAAUGCACGAGUUCCCGAUGAGUUCAUAUUUUGUAGGGAUGCCAAUACUUAUGGGAUGGAGUCAAGGGAAAAUCAUCGACCAUCGGUAAAGCAGCAACAACUUCCUCCAUGGUGUCCAGAGGGGUUGACUAGGACACAGAAAAGGAGGCUACAGCGCGAAAGGCGAGAGGAGUUGAACAAGGGUGAGAACUCUGGCCAGUCUAGGGAUCAGCAACAAUCAGAUCCUAAGGGAAAAGGUCCAUCGGAAGGUAUGAACAUGGUAUUUAUGUUGCCGAUGGAAUUCCUUGCGCCGUCUAGUGAUGAUGACUUGGAGUUUUCCGACCAAAUAGCUCAAUUGGCUCUGGAUCCGAUGACGGCCAUCUUCGAAAAGCCUGCCGAUAAUGAAAGGCAGCAUCUCAAGGCUUUGUUUGUCAAAGGAAGGGUUGAUGGUCAGCCGAUGACCAAGAUUUUAAUUGAUGGUGGAGCUGCCAUCAAUAUCAUGCCAUAUGCAGUGUAUCGGAAGCUUGGAAAAGGAGAUCAGGAUUUGACCAAGACCGAUAUGAUGCUCAAAGACUUUGAGGGCAACAUGUCUCCGGUUAAGGGGGCGAUAUGCGUUGAAUUGACUAUCGGCAGCAAGACCUUGCCGACAACCUUCUUCGUGAUCAGUGGAAAAGGUGCUUAUAACUUGCUGUUGGGAAGAGACUGGAUUCAUGCCAAUUGUUGCAUCCUGUCUACAAUGCACCAGUGCUUGGUCCAGUGGGUAGGUGACAAGAUCCAGUGCUUGGUCCAGUGGGUAGGUGACAAGAUCGAAAUUGUCCCGGGAGAUUCUUCCUAUGUUGUUGCAUCAGCAGAGGCAGACACCUACGAAAGAACCAGGUGUAUUUCAGGAGAAGUUUGGGAAAAGGAUUUUCUCAGAGUUGCCGAUUAUGAAAUUCCACCGAUCCAAGCAGUCGAUUUUGAUGAAGGUUUUUAAUGGAUAGGUUCGCCGAUGAUGGAAAAUUGGGCCAGGAAUUCACAUCGGCCGAUGAUUUGGUAGAAGUAGAUAUAGGUAGUGGUGAUAAGCCUAGACCUACUUUUAUUAGUGCUAAGUUAAGUUUUGAGUGUAAGCAAUAGUUAACUGAUUUCUUAAAGGAAUAUAAAGAUUGCAUUGCUUGGGAUUAUACUGAGAUGCCUGGUUUGGACCGAUCAAUUGUUGAACAUCGGUUGCCUAUCAAGUCUGGAUUUCGGCCACAUCAACAGCCAGCUCGCCGAUGUAAUCCUAAUAUUCUCCCUGAUAUUAAGGCCGAAAUAACCAAACUUAUUGAAGCUAAAUUUAUUCGGCAAUGUCGUUAUGCCGAGUGGAUUUCCAAUGUUGUCCCGGUUUAUAAGAAAAAUGGGAAGCUUCGGGUCUGCAUUGAUUUCAGAAAUCUUAAUAAAGCUACACCGAUGGAUGGCUACCCAAUGCCAGUUGCCGAUUUGCUAGUUGAUGCCGCAGCUGGGCAUCGGAUUAUCAGCUUUAUGGAUGGCAAUGCAGGAUACAAUCAAAUAUUCAUGGCUGAAGAAGAUAUUCCAAAGACUGCAUUUAGAUGUCCUGGUCAUGUUGGGUUGUUUGAAUGGAUAGUCAUGACAUUUGGCUUGAAAAAUGCUGGUGCUACUUAUCAGAGGGCCAUGAAUUUUAUAUUUCAUGAGUUCAUCGGCAAGCUGGUGGAAAUUUAUAUUGAUGAUGUGGUGGUGAAGUCUUGAGACUUCACGAAGCAUCUUGCCGAUUUGUGAAAAGUGUUGGAAUGCACAAGGAAGCAUGGUUUGAAGAUGAAUCCAAAUAAGUGUGCAUUUGGUGUAUCGGCAGGACAAUUUCUUGGUUUCAUGGUGCAUCAAAGGGGGAUUGAAAUUAGUCAGAGAUCCAUUGAUGCUAUCAACAAAAUAGUUGCCCCUACCAACAAGACUGAGCUCCAAUCCUUGAUCGGCAAGGUAAAUUUUAUCAGAAGGUUUAUAUCUAAUUUGCCUAGUAAAAUUCGUGCGUUCAGUCCUUUACUUAAGUUGAAAGCCGAUCAAGAAUUCGUUUGGGGAAAAGAACAACAGUUGGCCUUAGAUGAAAUCAAGAAUUAUUUGGUAAAUCCUCCAGUUCUGAUUCCACCUCAGCAAAGAAAGCCCUUUAUAUUAUAUUUGUCUGCCGAUGGGAUGGUCAUCGGUUUGGCUUUAAUUCAAGAAUUUGAAGGGAAGGAACGUGUGAUUUACUAUUUAAGCAGGAGAUUGGUUGAUGCUGAGACCAGGUAUUCAGCCAUUGAAAAGUUAUGUUUGUGUCUUUAUUUCUCAUGUAUUAAGUUGAGACACUAUUUGUUAUCGGCUGAGUGCACUAUCAUUUGCAAAGAUGAUGUGGUCCGAUACAUGCUAUCUAUGCCGAUCAUGAGUGGCAGGAUCGGUAAGUGGAUUUUGGCACUGUCAGAAUUCGAUCUGCGUUACGAAUCGGCUAAAGCGGUUAAGGGGCAGAUUAUGGCCAAUUUUGUAAAUCAACAUUGCGGUACAGUGGAGACUUUGGAGAUUGUACCUUGGACACUUUUCUUUGAUGGAUCCACGUGUGACCGGGGGGCAGGAAUCGGCAUAGUGUUAAUUACCCCUCGGGGAAGGAAGUACGAGUUUUCCUUGCCGAUUGUUGCCACGUCAACAAAUAAUCAAGCUGAGUAUCAAGCUUUGAUAAAGGGGUUGGAAUUACUAAGGGAAGUUCAUGCUGAUGCUGUUGAAAUCUUCGGAGAUUCUAUGCUGGUUAUAAAUCAAUUGGCUGGAAGCUAUGAAUGCCGAAGCGAAGUCUUGAUAACUUAUCACGAAAGGAGUAUGCAAUUGUAAAAGGAAUUCACGGAUUUCUGAUUAGAGCAUGUUCCUCGAUUGCAUAAUGAAGAGGCCAAUCGGUUGGCUCAGCGUGCCUCGGGAUAUCAGCCCAUGAUAAAUGCAAUAUCGGCAAUCGGUGCCGAUGAUUGGAGAAAAGAAAUCAUUGAUUAUUUAAAGGAUCCAUCCAAGAAAGUUGAGAGAUGUGUUCGGUUUCAAGCCACCAAGUAUGUACUCCUCGAAGAUGAGUUAUAUUACCGAACCAUUGAUGGGAUUCUUCUCAGAUGCUUAGGUGAUGAUGAGGCUAGAAGCUUGAUGGGAGAAAUCCAUAAGGGAGUGUGUGGAGCACAUCAGUCGACAUUUAUGAUGAAGUGGAUGAUCAGAAGAAACGGGUAUUAUUGGCCGACUAUACUUGAGGAUUGCUUUAAGUAUUUGAAAGUGUGUCAAGGAUGUCAGAAAUUUGGCAAUGUUCAAAGAGCACCCGCAUCGGCCAUGAAUCCUAUCAUCAAUCCUUGGCCGUUUCGAGGAUGGGCUAUUGACUUGAUCGACCAGAUUUACCCGCCAUGCAGCAAAGGACAUAAAUUCAUCUUGGUUGCCACCGAUUAUUUUACUAAGUGGGUUGAAGCUAUUCCUUUGAAGAAAGUUACAUCGGUCAAUUGAUUGAUUUGUGAAAGAGCAUAUUAUUUACCGAUUUGGAAUUCCUCAAACAAUUACUACCGAUCAGGGUACUAUGUUCACAUCAGGGGAGUUUGUGAAUUUGCAAUCGGUAUGGGAAUUAAAGUAUUAAACUCUUCUCCUUAUUAUGCUCAAGCUAAUGGGCAGGCCGAGGCAUCUAAUAAAGGAAUUAUCAAGCUUAUUAAGCAUAAAAUUGAAGAAAAUCAGGAGGUGGCACACGUUGUUAAAUGAAGCUUUAUGGUCAUACCGGAUGGCUUGUCAUGGAUCGACCAAGGUUUCACCUUAUCAGUUGGUAUAUGGGCAUGAUGCAGUGUUACCUUGGGAAAUUAAGACUGGGUCUAGGCGAUUAUCUUUUCAAGAUCAAUUGGUUGCUGUUGAUUAUGCUACGUUAAUGACAGACGAGUUGGAUGAUCUAGCAGGACAUCGGCUAAGGGCUCUGAUGAGUAUAGAAGAGAACAAGAAGAGAGUUGCCAGAUGGUAUGAUAAGAAGGUGAAGGCUAAGGAGUUUGCUGAUGGAGACUUAGUAUGGAAGUUAAUCUUACCGAUCGGGACUAAAAGUUUAAAAUUCGGGAAGUGGUCUCCCAAUUGGGAGGGUCCCUAUCGGAUAAGUCGAUCGGCUCCUGGUAACGCCUAUAUUUUAGAAACUCUUGAGGGAGUUAAAUUUCCUAGAGCAUUAAAUGGCAAAUAUCUAAAGAAGUAUUACCCAAUCAUAUGGGUCGAUGCAUAAAAGUUUAAAUGCCGAUAACAUUCCUAUCGGCUGGAUCAAAAUGUAUCUGGGGCCAGACUUAAUGUUUUAAAAGGUGCCGAUAACAGUCCUAUGAGCUAGACCAACACAUUAGGAGUGUUCAAAACAAAGGAGCAAGUAUAUUGCCGAUGAAGAGUUCACAUGUUCAAUAGCGCCUGGAUUGCCGAUAUAGCACGCAGACGGAUCUGGUUGGCUUCUUCUAUUACUUUCACAUCAUCAUCGGCAGAGCCUUCCACUGGCUUCAGAUUCUUCUUCAUCUGCAAUGUCGUGCGGGCUUGGAUAUUUCGCUCUUGCUCAAGAAGCUUGAUUGUCUCAGGCAGUUGGCUUUCUUCUUGUUGUGCUUGGGACAAGGCUUCUUCUACCUGUUUGAGUUCUGCCCACAGAACUUCUCUUCUCGCCGAUAGAUCAGAAAUCUUUUGUUUCAAUACAUCUCCUGAGGAUGUCAGGAUGCCGAUGCUCUUGUGUUUCUCAUCGGCAAGGAGUUUUACCUUCAUCAUCUCCUCAGAGAGCUGGGCAUGAGCAGCUCUAUCGGCAAGAUGUUGGGCAGCCCUCUGGUACUGCAGCUGACGGCUCUCUAGAUGUGUAGCUUGAAAGAGGAUUUCUUCAGCAUCGGCAGGAAUUUGGCCUCUGAGGGUCUUGAACAAAGCCUUGGCCGGGUUGGAGUCAUCAACCAGUUGGGCUGUGUCUUGAUGACGGAGGGCCGAUAAUUCUUCCAAUUUCGCCCUGAUUUCUGCCGAUGUGAUUCCAACUGCUCGAGAAGAGCUUGCCUCCUCGCCUUCAUCCUCAGAGAUGUCGAUGGCAAAGGAGAACAAACUGUCGGGAGAAUCUUGUUCCUGAAAAGGAAAUGAAACAAGUUAUUAUAUGGUCAAGUAUUGAUAAAUGAUACAGACAGAGAUUGGGUAACUUACUUGUUUCAGGGCAAUCUCUCGCCUCUGACUAGAUGAUGCCGAUGGAACCACAGGCUGAUCGGCUGGGGUUGCCGAUGGGACUACAUCAGCGGAAAGAUUAACAGAAGUAAUUAUAAGACGGGAAAAGUAGGUUCAUCGGUAAUGGUUUCAUGGAGAGUAUGUUACCUUGAGGGGGUGCAGCACUUGUCUGGAUCGAGGAAACUACCGAUGCUAUGAUUAAGUUUGCUGGAUCGGUAGUCUGCUCGCGCACAUCAGCCGAUGUUUCUUCCGGCUGAGGUACUUCUGGCUGGGGCUCUUCUGGUUGGAGUUCUUUCACUUGGGGUGCUUCUUGUGGCUGAGAAGGAGGUGGUACCUGCUGUGUUUGGGUUUCUGUAGAAGAGGGAGAACAUUCCACCGGGAUUGGAGAUACUGGGGGAGGAGAAGGCGUUGCUGUUAUUUGACGCUUUGCUUGUGAUCUGGUACUCUUGGCACCUUUUCUCUUCGGCUGACUGGACUGGGGGGCAUCGACACUUGUGGUUCUGGUCCUUGCCGAUGCGCCGGUGUGCUGUACCAUGAAUAAGAAUUCGUGAGUACAAGUGUAACAGGUGUAAGAAUGGAAUCGGUAAAGAAAUUUGAAGAUUUACCUUGAAGGCUUGCGCCAAAGCAGAGGCAGCUACCGAUGGAGAUGUUUUUGUUCGCUUGGUAGUGACUUUCUUGAGACGUACACCCUGAUGCAUUAUAGCAGCCAAGGUGGGAGCAUUGUUGCCGAUCGAAGAGAUUGGACCUGAUGGAAAAAGCUCGAUCGGCUUGCCGCUCCUGCUGACCGAUGGGGGAAUGUUAUCAACCUGUAAUAUAACACAGAAAGUGAGUUACCGAUGGAAGUAAAAGUGAAAGGAUUGAGACAUUGGAUUGGAAAUACUUACAGUGUUAUUGGGGACUUUGUACUGGGGGUCGAUCAUGCCGCGGUACGUAAGAGCCAAUUUGCAGAACAAAUGCUCCUUCCAAUCUUCCCACAAUUGUUUGUACGCCUGAGUGAUGAAGAGGGCUGGGACCCACUCUGAUAAAUCUGCAUCGGUAUUGGCACUUGGGGGCAGUUGAGCUACUCGGGUCCACUCGAGAAGGCUAGUGAUGGUUUCCCUGGGUUUUAUUACAUCGCCAUAACAGAGUGCAAUCGGCAGCUGACCGAAAGCUAGUUGACGGGCUAGUGCCGAUGGGUUGUAAAACUCAUAGGUCUAGUUGGAGGCUUUCCCACUGCCAAAGAAGUUUACUGGUAUAGCUCUGGGAGUGAUCAGCGCCAUCGUCACAUCAUGAUCCUUGUUCAGAGCAUCAUUGAACGGAUGGAACACCAAAGGAAACAUGGUGUCUGGAUCUUCAUAAGGCAUCCAUGCUCACUGUUCCCUGGUCAGGCCUUCGUAUAGGGUCUGGAAGAAUCGGCUGACCUGGUCUGUGUUGCCACCUGUACCAGGUAGAACUAUGAUAGCUUCGCCAAAGUUCAGAGGAGGACGAGUUGCCCAUUCUUCUUCAUCCAAUUCAUAAUCUUCGGCUAUAUCCCUAGGGAAGCAUUGUGCUAAGAGGUUGAACUCAAGACGCUUGUGCAUAUGGAGACUGAGCCACAUAUUGAUGAACCACCAGGGGCCCCCUAAGUUGCCGAUGGAUUGGUCGAGUAGGAGUUUUCUGGCUAUUUGAUGGAGGAGAUGGUAGGCAGAGCCAAGCAGGUAUCGGCCGAGUGGAAAUCGGUCACCAUUAGCUAAUCUCUCUGCUGCCGAUAGGUAGACAGAGGUUGGUCCUGCUGAUCGACCACAGAACAAAAAUUUGUCCAACCACAUAUUCAGAAAGGUGGUUUGUUCCUUUAUGUUGACAGGCCCCGUUCUACGGUACUUCUGAAUGUACCCAGACCAACCGCCGAUAGAGCGGGUUUCCACCUUGGCACUAGGUGUGGUGUCAAAUAUGUGACUACUAUCAGCAGUGGAUACAUCUAAGCCGGUGAGCAUAAGCACAUCGACAAGAGUGGGAGAAGUAGGGCCAUGACCGAAGACAAAGGCAUUAAGUGUCUGACUAGAAAUAUGAUGCAGCAAUCAGCAGUGAUUCGUUCCUAUGCAUAUCGGCAAGAGAUAGCCUAAUGCACUGGUCUAGUUUUCGUUCGCCCCAUUGAACCUCAUUCGAAUGGCUGACUCUCAAGAACCAAUCCUUCCAUCCCAUAGUAGGACUAGGCCAGGAAAGAAAGGUAUCUUUCCACAGAUCUAGAGAUAAAUUCUCGGCUCUAAAGGGGAUUCUGUUUGUUUCUGCGUUGAUCAGAUCGGUGGGAUCUGGGUUCCCUAGUGGACCGAGACAUUGGAGGUGUGGCUGAUCGGUAGAGAUGACAAUUUUAUUGGACAGAUCCUAAUGGUUUUUGGGGUAAAAGGAAGAAUGAAAGAAAAAAAAGAAGAAUGUUCAGUAAAAUAAAUUGCGGAUGAACAAGGAUAUGGUAAAAGUACAAGAGGUAGGGUGAUGAACUGACCUCGGGAACAGCUAAGUUGAUGGCCAUCUCCUCGCGAAGAAGAUGAUCGAAGACUUUGAGGUUGGUUAAGAAAGGUCUUCGUCGUAGUUCUUGGAGCUCUCGAGCAGCGCCGCCGCCAGAAAAGUAAAGUUAGAGCGCUGCCGAUGGGUUGUAAUACUAUUUAUAGGACAAAACAGGCAAGGGCAAAUCUGACUUAUCUCUUCGCCGUAUCCGUGAAAUCCGAGAGUACUCAGGUGGAUAUGGUAACUAUUCGCACGGUAAUCAAGAGAUUGCGCAGGUGAUUUGACAGGAAGCGGUCAUAAUCUAAAGAUAUUUCACUGUGCGGGAUUUCCUGGUCGGUCCAUCGGCAGCGCCUUGUAACGGUAAUACUGCCGAUGGGCGAAUAAAGUGAAGAUGUCCGUUUGGGAGGUUGAGAUAGUUCACUGUGCAGGAUUUCCUGGUCAGUCCAUCGACAGUUCCUUGUAACAGUAAUAUUGCCGAUGGGCGAUUAAAGUGGAGAUGUCCAUUUGGGAGGUUGAGGAAUUCGAGGCAUCUGCGGAAGAAUCGGGCCAAGGUUGUUCAGAUUUAGGCUGUCGGUUGCCUAAUUGGGAGAAUUAAUUGCGGAAAGGCAUCAUUACUGCAGAGAAUUUCGGAGCAUUAAUGAUUUCAUACUCCGAAAUUGGGGGGGCAUGUGUUGAUACCGUUUUUGGACACGUACCCAGGAUCGGUAGAGUGUAGACCAACAAGAUAAGGCAACAAUAACUGGUCUGCAGGAGAGUUGCCGAUGAGGGUGGUUGCCGAUGAAGGGACAGCUGAAUGUGACUAAGUCCAUGGGUGGUGAUGUGUUUAUGCCGAUGGUCAGCAUUAACCUGUGCCGAUGGCUACGAUGAGGGGUCUGCCGAUGAUUCGGAAGAAGAACCUAAAGGUUGUCAAUUGCCCUAUGGUGGUGUCCCAGUUUGUCACGGGAGGAUAGUUUUAUGUUUUCCUUAGUUAUUUAAAUCGUUUUGUAUACGGAUUCUGUUUAAUUUGGAAUUCGAGUUCUAGUCGUGUCUGAUUGUAGCUCUUUGAGCAGGGUAUAAAUGUAGACCCUAGGGCCAUGUAAUCGAUAUAUCUAUCAAUCAAUCAAACACAAGUUUUUACUCAUAUUCCAGCAUCUACUUUUCGACGACUUCAUCAUAUUUUCUUUUUCAUUACGAGUUCUUAGGAAUUCGUCGACUUAAGCUCGGUGUAUUCUCAAGUUCCGCGUGAAUACCUCUUGGCCGUGGCAUCCGGGCGCAUCGCUAUUGUCGGGACCAAAGUUUUCGAGUUAUCACCUUUGCCGAUAGUAAGGUCAAAUCGGCUGGCACGCCUUAACGAUUGAAUCAGGUAUUAGCCCUUUGUGUUUGCAGAUCAGCUUUUGCAUCAACACCACCUUUGUCGAUUGUAAGGUCAAAUCGGCUGGCACGCCUUAACGUUUGAAUCAGGUAUUAGCCCUUUGUGUUUGCAGAUCAGCUUUUGCACCAACAAUAUUGAUGUAGAACAAAGUCAUAUUCAUAAUAUUGAAGAACAAAGAUGAACAAUUGAAGAACAAUAGAGAAUUACAAAGAAUCCUCUUGACAGAUCCAGAAAACAAUCGAAGAUUGACUCCUUCUAGUUCUAAUCCUAUUUAGCUAUGAUAAUCUAGAUGUCUAAUUGAUGUGGUGGCUCUAGGCUUGAUCAGAGGCUUCUUCUCCCUUGAUGAAUAAUGAAUUAGGGUUGAGAGGCUCUCUCCUCCAAGGGCCAGGGGAUCUGGUUUUAUAGUCCUUCCAAGUGAAUAUGGGCCGUCGGAUCAAACCGACAUUGAUUGAAUGGUUAUCCUUGAUCCUUUAGGUCGGUGGAGCGUAAUCCCCAAAACGAACUCUGAUUGGACUCCAAAGGGGGGUGGGCGCCUGUUGACGGUCCUUAAUGCUCACAUUUAGCCAUCAACUAAUCAUGGAAAAGGAUCCAAAUGCAACUAACACCCAGACUUAGGGUUUUAUCUGACAGAAUUCCACGAGUUUUGGUGUUUGUCUAUUUCUGCAGGGGGUUAUCAGGAAAUACGGAACAAAGGCCCACACAUCGGGUUUACAUAGAGAUAUUAACGUGCCGUGCAAUUUUCUAUCAUCUAGAAGACUCCAGAAGCCAUGGAAACGAAGCAGAGGCCGAGAGGGCUCAGGGAUAGGGCGCCCGCCCAGCUACAGUGUCCAAUUUGGACCCGUUUCGCGGAUUAUGCUCCACCGACCUAAAGGAUCAAGGAAAACCGUGCGAUUAAUGUCGGUUUGAUCCGACGGCCCAGAUUCAUCUGAAAAGACUAUAUAAGCAAGGCCCCCUGGCCCCUGGAGAUCAUACCUCUUCUACAGAAUCAAAGCUAGGGUUUCAAUUCUUCAUCCAAGUAGAGAGGAUCCCUCUAGUUCUUCUAGUUCUACCUCUGGUUCAUCUAGAUCUAGUUCUAGUUCUAGUUCAUCUAGUUCAAUUUCUAGUUAGUUCUAGUUGUAAUCUAGAAAAUAGGGAGAGAGAAGAGGAGAGCGGAGGAGGAGCCGGAUAUGUCGGAUCUUCCUCAACAUUAUACUUUUGUAGCAUCUGGUUCGUUCUUCAUCGUUCUCUAGGUUCUUCAAUUCGUAAUUCCUGAGUUCUUUAAUUACUUUUAUUUACAUUCAUGUUAUUUAUUGGAUUCCCGCUUGCAUCAAGUGCUCUAGUCUUUAUAACGCUAGAUUGUUGUGGUAGCCUUAGGGUAGUGACAGCCCUAACGGUCGACGUAUUCCACCUCGUUCGGAUCGGUGUUUGUAGGACCGUAGUCAGACCUUCCUAGCCCCCUUCUCAUCUCUUUUUGUGGUUAGUGCUCUGAUGUCCCGAUAUAGAUAAUCUUGAAGUAAUUCUUGAUUCUUAGAUCAACUAGAGAACUCUCAGGAAACUUCUUCUCUUCCCACCAAAAAUAAUUAUAUAGUUAUCCUUGGGCAAUCUUGGAUCUUAAUUAGUACACUCACGUUCUCUGUGGAAAAUCGAUACUCUGGAAUACUCCCAGGCGAAAGCUACAUCGGUAUCCGUGCGCUUGCGGAUUUUUCUAUUUGCGUUUAAAAUACCCAACAAGCUUUCUGGCGCCGUUGCCGGGGAAUGGUAGCUGUGCUAGUUUCAUACAAGGUCGUCCGUGUAUCCUUUUUCUUUUCCUUUUUUACCACAUUCACCUUACCAUUUUCACCACACCACAUGGAUUUCACUCUAAGCAUUAAUGAGCAUGGAAUUUAUUUCCACUUCAUUUGCUCCAUGCUCAUAUGCAACAUUUUCACAAUCCAUUGGUCUCUCCAACAUCACCACAUUCGGGAUCUCCAACCCCCUCUUCCUUUCUAUUUAUAAAAACUUUAAAAGGGCGGUUGUUGAUGCAUAUGUCUAUAAUAAAUUUUGCAGAUCUCAUUGAGUUGAUCUUGAUAUAGGUCAGCGUUGGAGGGGAAACCACUUCACUGACAUAAAUUGAUGGUUUCCCAAGGACAAGCUUAGUGUCCUAAAAUAAGCACUGAUCAGAUUGUAACAUGAGCUUUUAAUUAUUUGCAACAUUACCUUGUGUAUUGAGCAUAUAAGGAUAAUUGUAAAAAAUUCCUUCGGGUAUUCUUGUCACUAACCUUUCCAGGAUUGGAGCAAGAAGAUCGGAUGAAUGACAAGCACAAGGUAUGUCCAACCAAUCAUCAUACAACAUUGAAUUAAAUUCAUCCAAACUUGAAUUUUGCAAAAUUCAAGCUUGAGGGAGUACUUUGCAUAAAACAUCCUUUGUCAUGUUGCUAUGUUGGUUGUCCCUACCUUUGUGAUAUGCUCAAUUUGUUAAAUACUAAUCACACUACUUCAUCUCCACUUGAGUAGAUCUCUAUAAAUGCUCUCAUGCUACCUUUAUUUGCUUUAGUAUAUGUCUAAGUUUGGAGUAGUUUCAUUUAUCUCUUAAUUAAGCAUGGUGCUUAGUUAGGAAUGUUGAUCUUACUUCCAAGGGAGUUUAAAUUAAGCAUGAUGCUUAAGUUAAAAUGCCAUCCUAAAUCAAAUUAGACAUGGUGUCUAGGUUGAUCUUUGAGCCAAUAGUAUGCUAUAGUAGAUAUUGGAUAUUUUGUUGGACUAACCCCUGCAGGAAAACUUUCAAUAUCCACCUGUGAAGUCCUGAGAUAAACUCACAUUGAAGACAAAGAGUGAGACACAUGAAGUUUAACAAUUUACACAAGGAAGGCAUAGCUCACAAGAGAUGAUCCAUGGAGGGUGCCACAAACACGAUGCACAACCGCUAAGAAAGGAAAGCUUCCACAAGGUGAUACUGUACCAUCACUCUUCAAGUAAGGUAACAUCUUAAGGUACUUGACUAUCACUUCUACAAGCUUCUCCUUGUUUCUGGCGUUCACAUAAAUAAAAGAGACAAACAUGUAUGAUUUACAACUCUAGAUUAACCAACCCAAUCGAUUCCACAUGUUUAGUCCUUCCACCUUUGUAAUCCCACACUCCUACUCAUAUAAACUAAAAUGUUGCACACUCAAUCUUUGGAAAAUGAUAGUCAUGUAAAGAAAAAAAUUUACUUAGAUAGAUUAUCUUUCCAUUAGGUUGAGCGAUCUGAUCUGACAAAUGUUUUAAAUGCCACACUCAUAAUCUUAUUAUCCAUCAACUUUGUCUUGCUCACUAUGCUUAAGAUUAGAGAAGAACAAAUACACUUUUGGUUCUGUUGGUGUUUUCCACAAACAGGGCCCUUGCACUUGAUCUCUGCCUUGUCUAUGAGCAGGUACACUUCGAGCAAAAUAUGAAGGACUUUUACAACUCCCAGACUCCACCUAGUGAAGAACCUAGAUCUACGAGUACAAACACACUGGAGAUACUAGACACUCGGGCAAUAACUGCCCUGAGAUGCUUGUGGACGUAACUACUGGAGUAACCCCGUUGUGGAAGCAAUUACUGACCUUCUACCGGUCAAGAGAGACAAUCCAGGACGCCCCGUCAUCCCGAUCUCCAUCGGCAUGGUGGACAUCCCAGAAGCACUCUACGACUUUGGCUCCAGCGUCAACAUUAUGCCCAGGGUACUCUAUGAAAAAUUCUUUACACAUCCUUUAUUAGAGACAGCCAUGUGUUUGUAGCUUGCAGAUCGUAUGCUAAGUUUCCCAAAGGGAAUAGUGAAGAACCUCUGCGUCUGAGUUGGUACCUUGUACGCCCCAGCAGAUUUCGUGGUGAUAGAGACUGGUACUGAUGAGAGUGCACCCAUCCUAGGGAGGCCAUUCCUGAACACCUCAGGAGCUGUCAUCUACGCUAGUGCUGCUAAGAUCAGUUUCUACAUCAAGGGGAGGAAGGAGACAUUUUCCUUCAAGAACAAGACUACACAAGUCUUAGAGUAAUCCCGACAUGAACCAAGGAAAGGACCAACAGGAGGAAUGGGAACAAGCAAAUGUGGACCAAGUUAGCUAAGAUGGUCACUGCAGUUCAAGGAAGUCAAGAUCGUCGACUUAAGUCACCGUUCCUCACCAAAAAGGAUGACCCAGCUCCGGAUGGCAGAUCAAACAUUCCGAAAGGUUGAAGGUUAUUGACAUGGGAGAAGACGAGUACGAUCCACCCAUCAUCCUUGGGAGACCGUUCCUCAGCACCGUUAAAGCAAUUAUCUACAUUGGAACCGGAGAAGUCCACAUGCACUUCCCCUCUGAGAAGGUACACUGCUAUUUUACUGACCCUAACUAUAUAGUUGAAGACUCUAAGCAGGUCAAGACAAGGAGAAGACGACGCAACCGCAAUCAGAGGAGGCAAAUCAUCAAGGACGGAUGGGCAGACUACGAAGGAGAUGUAGUAAGGUCUGAAGAUAUACAGCUUGAACAGAACUGUCCAGAGGAGACCGUAGCAUCGAGUCAGGUGUGGAGAGAGAAGACAGUUAUACAUGAAGACCAGGCGCCACCGGAACCACCGACUACACCAUCCAGCGAAUCCCAGGACGACUGAGAAAAUGGAGAGUCCCGUUCGGAGGACUUAAACACACCGAACGCCUUGCCAAGAGGUAAACUUGGUAGUUAUCCUUUUCCUUUCAAUUAUUUAAAAUAGUUUGCUUAGUUAAUCAGGUUUAUAUCAUCUUGAAAAGAAAAUAAAAAUGUUAGAAAUAGUAAGCCCCAUGUGAGUAUGGUCAUGGCAUAAAACCCAUAACUACAUUCACUGUGGUGGCAUAAAAAUAAAAUAAAUAUAUUUCUGUCCUAUAAAAAUGAAAAUAUAAAAUAAAUUUAUGAUCCUACUAAGAGAGUAACAUUUAUUGAGGAGGCUCAACAUGAUAAAGGCUAGGUAUUUAUGCUAACACUUAACCAGUUCCACAAAGCUUUGUUGUCUAUUUGAGCUCCACAGAAUUCAAGGAUCAAAGAAGACUAGUAGACAGAGGACAUCCUAAUCACUGUCAGGGUGCUGCCGACAUUCAAAUACACCUCUGCUACCUGCUAUCUACAUCAGAAGAAAUUACAUCAAAAUCUAGCUUGGGGGAGAGCACCCCCAUUUAUCCAGCUAAAUAUUUCUACUCGCAUUUAUACUUUUACUCAAAUAAUAAAAAGAUGCAUAAUCAUGAAAACCCAAAUAAAGAUUUUGUGAUUAUAUAUAUCUUUGUUUAGUUUGCUAAAUAAAUAAAUAAAUAAAGUUUGCUAUGAACCCUCAUGAUAAGCUCUCACAUGGAAAUGAUGAAUAGUUGCUCUGCCAUGACUAAUUCUCAAAAUUGAAAUCUCUCUCAAGUUUAGGCAUGACUGUUAUUAAUUAAGAUUUGCUCUAAACCUGAACUUGUGGGAAGAGUACUUGAUCUAAAGUCUAAGUCGUUAACGGAUAUGAUAUGAGAAGGUUGAGCUGCUGUUUAUCUGUUCCUAUAGAUGCUAGAAUUCUGGAGAUUUUUAUCUUUGAAAAUAUUUAAAAUGUUGCAUGAUGAGUUCCUGUAUGAUGAGAGUUUAAAUUCCUACCACAGCCAUAUAUACAUGCUUGCUAGACUAUGAGCCACACAUUUACUUUUUACUACUUAUGAGCAUUGAGUGUGGUCAAGCUGUGUAGACCCUUAGGAGCUUGUCAUGCGGUUAAAUCAAGAUUCACUUGCACGUUCACUCAUACACGCUACUUCUACUUCGGAAGUACGCAUCCACAUAUAUCCAUCCAUUUCCAUCUCCAGAACCACCAAAAAUAUUCUACUCCUAAUCCGGGAGAGAAUAGCCAAAAAUAUUUCUAUUUUUCCCCUGUGAAAUAAAUGCUCAAGUUAUCUUGUUACUACCACUUGCUAUAUUAUUUCAGGAGAUGAGUGCUCUAAAAAAGAGAGAAAAAAAGAGAAAGAAUACGAGGAAAUAAAAAGGGGCAAGUGCCUGGAACCUCGAAAGAAAAGAAAAAGUGAGACGAGAGGUAAAAAUGGACAAGUGUCCGACAGUAGAAUUAGGGGCAUAAGAUACCCACCUGAGAGAAAAGAAAAAAAAGAGAGAAAAUAUAGAGCAUUUCAUUCUCCCCAAAAGUUUCAAAAGAGCAAGGAAGGUAUGUGUCCCCUCAAAAGAGCACAAGUAGAAUUAGACUUUCACCAUUGUUAUCACCAUCAUCACCAUACACCAUUCAUUCGCCACACAUGCACAUUUUGAUUUGACUUAUUGACUUGUUCAUCUAGAUCCAUGGUUUGACUAUGCAAUAAAUGUCUUGUAAGUAUGUAUUAGCUGUCUCCCACCUAUGAGCUCCAGGUAUCAAAACCUUAUUACAGUAGGGUGAGAGAGAAGGCAAUGUCACUAUGCCUCAUACCAAAAAUACCACAUACUUUGAGAGAAGGCAUACACCUUUACUGCCUUGGUAAGGAUCCAGAAAUACCACAAAAGAGAGAUCUGAGAGAGUCAUACAAGGAAUCUCUGAGUUUUAUUUGAAAAUCUGCAAAAGCUCCAGAGCUAUAGUUGAUCAAGAAUAAGAGACAUGGUGCUUGACUAGACCGUUCUAUCUUUUAAUUGCUCAAGACAGAAGUGACGGUUACAAGCCCCAUGGUGGAAGGUAAAAUGAGUAAGUUUAAAUCUUAAAAGUUUACCUUAACCUAGAGAUGAGAUCUUGUUUGAACGCAUGUGUACUUUUAAGGCAUAAAACCACUGCAGAAACUCUUGAGUUCAUCUUUGCUCAGGGAUGAGCAAAUGUUAAGCUUGGGGGAGCUUGUCGACGGUCCUUAAUGCUCACAUUUAACCAUCAACUAAUCAUAGAAAAGGAUCCAAAUGCAACUAACACCCAGACUUAGGGUUUUAUUUGAUAGAAUUCCACGAGUUUUUGUGUUUGUCUAUUUCUGCAGGGGGUUAUCAGGAAAUACGGAAGAAAGGCCCACACGUCGGGUUUACAUAGAGAUAUUAACGUGCCGCGCAAUUUUCUAUCAUCUAGAAGACUCUAGAAGCCAUGGGAACGAAGCAGAGGCCGAGAGGGCUCACGGACAGGGCGCCCGCCCUAGUUCCUUGGGCGGCCGCCCAGCUACAGUGUCCAAUUCGGACCCGUUUCGCGGAUUAUGCUCCACCGACCUAAAGGAUCAAGGAAAACCGUGCGAUUAAUGUCGGUUUGAUCCGACGGCCCAGAUUCAUCUGAAAAGACUAUAUAAGCAAGGCCCCCUGGCCCCUGGAGAUCAUACCUCUUCUAGGGUUUCAAUUCUUCAUCCAAGUAGAGAGGAUCCCUCUAGUUCUUCUAGUUCUCCCUCUAGUUCAUCUAGAUCUAGUUCUAGUUUAUCUAGUUCUAGUUCUAGUUCCCCUAGUUCUAGUUCUAGUUCUAGUUAGUUCUAGUUGUAAUCUAGAAAAUAGGGAGAGAGAAGAGGAGAGCGGAGGAGGAGCCGGAUCUGUCGGAUCUUCCUCAACAUUAUACUUUUGCAGCAUCUGGUUCGUUCUUCAUCGUUCUCUAGGUUCUUCAAUUCAUAAUUCCGGAGUUCUUUAAUUACUUUUAUUUACAUUCAAGUUAUUUAUUGGAUUCCCACUUGCAUCAAGUGCUCUAGUCUUUAUAACGCUAGAGUAAUAAUUAAUAGAUUAGACGUGGUGUUUAGUCUUGCGAUUACCUAGAAUUGCACCCAAUCCUGCGGAUUGUUGUGGUAGCCUUAGGGUAGUGACAGCCCUAACGGUCGACGUAUUCCACCUCGUUCGCAUCGGUGUUUGUAGGACCGUAGUCAGACCUUCCUAGCCCCCUUCUCAUCUCUUUCUGUGGUUAGUGCUCUGAUGUCCCGAUAUAGAUAAUCUUGAAGUAAUUCUAAAUUCUUAGAUCAACUAGAGAACUCUCAGGAAACUUCCUCUCUUCCCACCAAAAAUAAUUAUAUAGUUAUCCUUGGGCGAUCUUGGAUCUUAAUUAGUACACUCACGUUCUCUAUGGAAAAUCGAUACUCUGGAAUACUCUCGGGUGAAAGCUACAUCGGUAUCCGUGCGCUUGCGGAAUUUUCUGUUUGCGUUUAAAAUACCCAACAGCGCCCUGGUCUUUAGGGCGGGCGCCCUGGGCAAGGCCCCAUUCUGCAUCCACUUCGUUCCCGUGGCUUCUGGAGUCUUCUAGAUGUAAGAUAAUUGCGUGGUACGUUAAUAUCUCUAUGUAAUCCCGACGUGUGGGCCUUUCUUCCGUAUUUCCUGAUAACCCCCUGCAGAAAUAGACAAACACCAAAACUCAUGGAAUUCUGUCAGAUAAAAGACUAAGUCUGGAUGUUGAUUUCAUUUGGAUCAUUUUCUUUGUUUAUUUGAUAAUUAAAUUUGAUACUUAAGGACUGUCAACAUGUGUGUCAAAAAUAUUAACCUUGGAUCAAGCUUGACAAGCAUUAGUUUUCUUUCAAGUUUUGCAUUGCACUUCUUAUCAUAUGCAUGCUUGUUGAUUUACCAUUUCUUUUUGGUUAUGCUUUGAGCAUCCGCUGUGUUCGUGCAUUGAUAGGAGGAACAUUCAAAGCUCAUCAUGAUUUAAACCCCUAGCUUUAUUGCCAUACGAUGCUCCUCGGUGCUUUCACUUGAAUAUUUUCAUAAAAACUACUAUGCCUAAAGCUAAAUAUUUGUGAAAAUUUGAGGGUUUGAGAGAGGUCACUCAUACCAAUUCCAAUUUGUGUUUAUUUGAGUCUUCUUGAAGUUGGAACUUGGUUGGGUGAAAGUAGGGCAAAGUUCCCAGUUGAAAAACCUGCCAGAGUUGCACCGGAUGAUGCACUGGACGCACCCCCAGUGCGUCCGGUGUGGUGAGUCUGCUGGUCAGCACUCACUGGACACGCGCACAGUGUCCUAAGGGCAUCCGGUGAGGUGCGUCCGGUGGUUCACCCUAGCCUGCCCUAGGGCACCGGACGCCAGUCCAGCAUCCGGUGGCCAUCGUCCGGUGCUCGGACGUUUUGCGGGGCUCCCUGUGUUUUAGUCUGGUGGUCACCGGACGCCUCCGGUGCCCCUUUAAGAGCGCCCGGUGACCCCGCAGCGAGUGGAUAAAGCUCGAACCCCCCCUCUUCAUGGCCAGUUUUCUUUUUCCUCUCGCAAACUCGCCCAGCAGCUGUGCCCGUGCCCUAAAUCGUCGUGACACCGCUGUCGUCGUGGCAGUGCUUCCCCUCUGAAGUUUCUUAGUUUCUCGGUGCCAAGGAGACUCCCUUCCUCGAUCUCCUCCCUCCUGCACUCCCUGUUUCUCUUCUAGGGUUUGGGGUGAGUCUCUUGAUCCCUGCCCUUAAGGUGUUCAAUUCAAUGCCUAAACAGAUUUGAAUGUUGUUUUUGAUAGUAUUCUCCUUCGUUUAUCUUUCAUAGCACCUUGAGGAGUUUGUUUGCGGUCUCUGGUGUAUUUCGAUCGUGAUCUUUCAUCCGGGACACAUCUGGUCGCCCGAUCAUAAGCAGUUCACGUCCAUUCUUAUCUAUAUCUUGCGAUCUAUAGUGUUUUCUCACCUCUAGUUAUUAUGUGUGCUUAUAUAUACCCUAUCUAUUCUGUCUCUUGCAGCAUGUAAUCUCUUUCUGGUAGUUGUCAGUGGCAGUUCAACUUGGGGCCAAGCCCGCGAGUAUGGAUUGAGGCCAAGCCUCUAGAGUGUCAAAUUGUUAGUUGUCCACAGCCUCUCAGGAUUAGGAUCUUGCAAUGGCACGUUGCAAGAACGUCAGUGGUCCAACAGCCGGCAGUGGUGGCACUCCAGUGGCGAUGGGGGAGAUGAUAGGCCCCAUCGUUUGACAGCUGCGGAGAAGGGAAAAGGAAACAAAGUGGCUACCAAGAAGAGGAAGGCCAGUGACAGAGAGGCAGAGAUAGCCGAGGUAGUGGUAGCAGCAGCAGAGGCAGCAGAGAGGGGUGGUCGCUCAGGUGCUCUGAGGAUCGGAUCUGACCUCACGAUAGCUCAGAGGCGUGUAGUACUUGAGGUUGAGCAGCGACAUAGGACUCCACCUGGCACCAUCAGACGCUAGCACCGGACACUCUGUGCGUGCAUCCAGUGAGGUUGUUUGCAGUCAGAGUGACUGGUGCCUAGGGUUAGGCACCGGACGCUAGCACCGGACUCACCGCGUAGCAUCCGGUCCUAAACCCAGGGAGGUCUGAAAUUUAACCAAGGCACCGGACGCUAGCACCGGACUCACCGGGUAGCGUCCGGUCCUAAACUCAGGGAGGGUGUAAGGUUCACCCCCACACCGUACGGUGUCACCGGACACUCAGAAGUAGCGUCCAAUGCUCUGUCAGAGGCAAGUACAGCACCGAGCGUCCGGUGCAACAUCAAUAGUGUUCGGUGACCCCGUUUUCAUUGUAAAAUGGUUGGCCAACCCUUGGACUUGAUGGGGUGUAUUUAUACUCCUCCACCUCAUCCAUGGGAGGUCUCUUGCCCAUUUGAUCGGUUGAGAAUCACCUUGUGGUGCAAGAGAGAAGCUAGAGCCUAGAGAGGAUUGAGAUUUGAGAGAUUUCUUGUGAGAAUCCUUCUCUAGUGGAAUUCCAAGAGUCAAGUGUGCAUCCACCACUCCCUAGUGCCUUGUUUGGGUCAAGUGCGAGUUCAUUGUUUGUUACUCUUGAUGAUCGCCAUCACCUAGAUUGUUCGGUGGUGAUUGGAGGCACGAAGACCGCCCAAAGUUAUUGUGGGUGGCUCGUGUCAAGCUUGAGAGCGGUUUUGGGCGAUUCACCGUGACGGAGUGUCAAAGAAUCAGCCUGUAGAGAGCACUUGGUCCUUGCGCGGACCAAGGGAGAGCAAGACCCUUGCGCGGGUGAUCGAACGAGGACUAGUGGAGAGUGGCGACUCUCCGAUACCUUGGCAAAUCAUCGCUGAGCACUUUCUUACCCUUCUCCUUUACAUUCUAGCAUUUACUUUGUGCAAUUACUUUGAGGUUUUACAUUCCUAGAAUUGCCAUGCUACAAUAGGAUUGGAACUAGGAUGCAAAACUUUUAUCCGGUAGCUCUCUAGUCACAUUAGGCACAAGGGGUUGAAUUGGAGCUUAUAGGUUGCUUAAAUUUUUAGAGAAGCCCAAUUCACACACCCUCUUGGGCAUCUUGAUCCUUUCAUGCGCUACACUUGUGCCUUGUGUUCGAUCAUCUCUAAAGGGUGCCCUGCCUCCCCUUUUAUAGCCACAAGGGUUGGCCGGGCCUUUACAUGUGUAAGCCUGUAAAUUAUCUCUAGUAUGUGGUGGAGUCACAGUGCCGACAAUGUGGAGAUCGGCCACCUCAUCCUUGGGGCAUGACUGACGGCGUGGUCGUCCCUGUGGAGCGUCGCUAAGCCCUGUUUGGAUCAUGGAGGUCAGGUCUAGGGCGCUGCAGCUUGUCUUGCAAUAGUGUAACAGUGACUGCCAAAGCAUGGCCACAGUGGCUGGGGUUAAUCUCCUCCCAUUCCUCUUACUGUCGGGCAUUGCCUCACAGUGAUAGAGGUAAGGCGACAUAGUGAUGGGUGUUGUUGGAACAGUGGUUGGCACGCCCUGCUGCAGUGUGUGAGGUAUGGCGCACGUCGCAUUAGGGGUACGACCAUCGUGUAUUGGAAUCCUGGUAGCGAGGCCGAGGCUUGGGCGAAGCACUGAUUGCGCUCGAGGCCGUGGUGUCGGGCGAGAUGGAGAUUAUGCCUGAGGCCAAGGGGUCGAGCAAGACGGAUAUUGCGCCCAAGGCCAAGGGGUCGGGCGUCGCUUUUACUGUUUUUUGCCGCUUCUUGCCCUCUUGAUUUAGGUAUCCUGGUUUAUGGUACCCAAUAGUAGCCCCUGAGCUUUUGAGGGGCUGGGAUGCUCCUCCAGAGGCUUUUUUUAAGGGUUAACUGUUAGACUGAGACUCUUAUUUCCUCCGGCGGGUGCGCGCUAGCGCACCCACCGGGUGUAGCCCCCGAGCCUUUAGAGGAAUGGUGUUAUUCCUUCAAAGGCUUUUACUCCUUUUGCAUUCUAGGGAGUAUCUGGGGGAUGCGGUACAACUUCUUUACAUGCAGUGCAUGUCCCCACGGCGUAGGUGAAGCCCCCGAGCCCUUGCCCAUAGGCAACGAUCGGUCAGGGUCUUUCCCAACUUUAUUUUGCGCCUCUCAUUCAUCCUUUCAUUUGGGGGAGGGAUGGGAAGCGCCGCACUACCCUUGGUGGGCGAGUAACGACAUUCCCGGGGAGCUGCUAACGGUAGGUCCAAAUGGAUGUCCGAGUCCCGUUUGAUAGGGGUCGGCUUGCGGCCUUAUGGGCACAUCUCAAAGUACCUGAGGUAGUCAUAGUGGAUGUUAGGACUAUUCGAUAGGUUCUGAGGGCUCGAUGCCUCCUUCGAUGGGAUUCCAUUCAUGUGACACCAGCAUCUGUCUCAGACACGACUGUCAGGGAUGCGUCGAACCUCUGUGGGGCUCGGACCGCGGCCUCUCUUGUGCUCAUCCACAGUCAUCCCUCGCUCGAUUAUCCUGAGGCAACUAUUCGAACCCACUUUGUAGGUCAGUCUAACAACCUCUGGACCGUAAGAGGCCACGGCCUGGGUUUCUUACCAGAGGAGGUAUCGAUUUGGGCGUAGAAAGGUGGGUCGGGCGCCCCUUGCCUUUGAAGGAAGCACCUAGAUCCGGUCGGCGGGGCGCUCCUUUUGAGGCGACUCGCGUUGGGAGUCAGAACAACCACGUCAUCGUGCCAAAUCCAGAUGGGAUGUUUUGCCUGUUGUGGGGGUAUAAACCCCUAUACCCUUACGGCUAGACUUGGGCCAGGAGGCUUGGCCCAUCAUGAGGACAGUUCGAGGCUUGAUCCAACUGCUCGGAGUUUCGCGCAAGGAAACAAGACAUAGAGAUCAAGCCUGAUUUUGGUCAGUUAGAAUAGGAAUUGAUAUCGUACUAUCUAUGGCAAUUGUAACCGACUAGGAUUAGUUUCUAGAUCUGUAACCCUGUCCUCCGGACUAUAUAAGGAGGGGCAAGGGACCCCCCAUAGGACACAUUAUUCUCUCAACACAAUCCAAUAUAAUCAGACGCAGGACGUAGGUAUUACGCCCACACGGCGGCCGAACCUAGAUAAAAACCUUGUCCGUGUCUUGCGUCACCAUCAAGUACGUAGCUUCCGCACCGUCUACCGAUAAACUACUACCGUGGGUAUAACCCAAGGUAGACUGCCAACUAGCUUUCGUCGACAGUGGCAUGCUAGGUAGGGGGUGUGCGUACAGCUCUCUCGGCGAACAAGAUGGUCAUCGUUCCAGCUUCCGUGGCCGUGCCUGAAGGCCUCACAUUCACCGUCAGCCAGAUCAUGUGGACGACUCAUGGCGGCGGCCUCACGACCACGACUUCGGAAGAAACCCAGAUCCGAUCUGGGACGACUGCGACAUCGACUCCGAUCACGCUGACACCGAGCACUCGACCACCGCUCCCUCGUUAUAGGGGAAAAAAGGUCGACGACUCGAAUCUUUUCUGAGCCCUUGAUCGUGCCGAUCUCAGGCUCCUCGAAGCUUCCCGACUAGUAGAUGGGAUCUCACGCCAAUCUGAUCAAGUGGCGCCGAUGGACUAUUUCGACUCCUGCCGGCCAACUCGUGUCGUCACACACGAACGGUUGGGGACGUCUCUAACAAUAACUUCCACCCCCACGGGGCGGUCUGUCGAACUCAAGGCAGACCCAGACCAGAGUCCUCCCUAUGGGCUAAACAACUCGGCCGUUCACUACUCACGGCACAUCCAAUCGCUUUUCAACAGUGCGGGAUGGUCGUCGAGACAGAGCAGUCGACCAGCUCGCCAUCACGUCAACAUGGUGUCAAUCCAAGUACUGCCGAACGAUCAGACCUCCAGCACAAACUCCAGCAUAGGGUCCAUCCCUACCGAGGUUAUAAACUCUGAAGACGAAGAUUACGACCUGGAUUUACCACCGUAUCCCCCGGGUUUUUCUCGCUUUCCAGUCUUUCCACCCCGGCGGGGAGAUCUUAUCUUCAAUGUCAGCAACGACGAACCGGUCGUCGACGGAGAGACAGACGAACAGAAGCAGCUCCGCGAACAGCGCAAUGCCGACCACGCCUGACGGCACGUGGAUGAGGAACGACAAUUUGCGCCGCAUAACCUCAGCGACGCUUUCGACAUGGUCAGAGAUCAGCAAGUCUACAAAACGCCAAGUGCUAACGUGGCUGUCGCUAUGGCGAACCUAGACCGACUCCCUGAUACUCCUGAGUGCCAGGGUGUCUGAUCUAGCGUAUGCGCACACCUGAUCGCCGCAAUGGGAUAGACAGCUACCUUACUCAAAAGGGUCCAAGCUGUCUCCUACGCAGAGGUCUCUUCCGACCAGACUCAUCGCAGCCAGACUUCACCACGACUCAGCGAGCGCCACCACAGCCGCUCUCCCAAUAAUCGUAGGAAGGAUGCGGGGCGUGGCAACAGUGGUCGGGACACCGGCGGCUACCGCGAUCAGAAGCGAGGGCAUGGUCAGGAAGUAAACCAAGACAGGGAUCUACGAUACAACAUCCCUCCCAAGGACGCCCGGGACCGCAUCAACAGGCGCACCACGGAAAGAGCGGUGCACGAAAACUUGCGGCGCAUUGAGUACGAUGCCGCGCACGGCCCCCCAGCCUGAGAUAGUUUUCAUCGCACCUUCGCCAAGUCGUAUGGCCCCACAACUUUAAACUCGAGAAGAUUAAAAAAUACGAUGGCAAGGAAAACCCAGAAAACUGGAUCACUCGCUACGAGAUUGCAGUCCGUUCAGCAGCAGGAGAUGAGCACGUCAUGGCUAACUACUUCCCAGUUGUCCUCGACCAGGCUGGUCAUCAGUGGCUCCUUGCCCUGCCCGAGGACUAUUUUGACUCCUGGGAAGAACUACGCCAGGCAUUUAUCGACAAUUUCAUCGCUACCUGCGAGCAGCCUGGGAACAAGUACGACCUCGAGAGAAUAUGGGACAGGAAAAACAAGCCUCUGCGCGAUUACAUCCGACGAUUCUAGGAUAUGCGUCUUAAAAUCCCAAAAAUUUCUCACGACGAGGCCAUAUCCGCUUUCAUCAAAGGGCUACGCUUACACGAAGCACUGAGGAACAAGCUACUGUGCAAAAGGCCAACCACGAUGGCUGAGCUCCUUGCCACGGCAAAAAACUACGCCGACGCCGAUGACGCAGAAAAGCUCAUCCGAGAGGAUGCAAGAGGUCCCGACCAGCCUCCCCGACGGGACGACAGUCGUGGUCGUUUUGACAAUAGGAACCAUCGUCGCCCCGACAACCGCGACCAUAGAGAAGGUUGGGAUAGGCGGCGUGAUAAUCGAGACGACUUUAGGGGCAAGCGACCACGACCACGAGGUGAAUAUGGUCAAGUGCCCCAUUGGGCAGCAGGACUACCAGGAAGAUUACAACAAGACGUUGAAGGGACCGUGCCAACUUCACCCCAAGUCCAAUCACAUGAUGGAAGAAUGUCGUGUCCUCAAAAGCAUCUACACGCAGCGGGCUGCUCAAGACGAUUCUGCUAAGAAAAACGGAAAGCAGGACGGGCGCGGUCACGAAGACGAAGACGACAUCCAGGAUAGGGACCCACGACACCAGUAUGUCAAUCCUACCGACGUGGUCCACUCCAUCUUCGGAGGCAAAGUUUCCAUCGAGUCUAAGCGAGAAAGAAAGCUCCUGAAGAGAGCCUGCCUCAACGUGGACAGCACAGACGGUCUGAUCGCCGAUCCGAAAUUUCCUCCCUGGUCGCACAGGGAGAUCUCCUUCAGCAGGAAGGAUCAAUGGGCCGCCAUCCCAGAGCCAGGACGUUUCCCUCUAAUCCUGGAUCCUUGCAUCAACAGCAUCAGAUUCGAGCACGUGCUCGUUGAUGGGGGAAGCUCCAUCGACAUCCUUUUUCGCAACAGCUUGCCUGCUCUCAGGAUAACCCCGGCAGAACUAAAACCAUAUGACACACAAUUCUAGGGAGUCCUGCCAGGUCAAAGUUCAGUGCCCCCCGGACAGAUAACACUGCCUGUCCAGUUCGGAACGCCCGACCACUUUCGAACAGAGUUCGUCAACUUUGUGGUCGCCGACUUUGACGGCACUUACCAUGCAAUUCUAGGCCGACCAUCGCUGACAAAGUUCAUGGCAGUUCCACACUACUCAUACCUGGUCCUCAAAAUGCCAACAGAGAAGGGCGUCCUAACUGUCCGAGGCAAUGUCUAUACCGCAUACACUUGCGAGGAGGAAAGCUUCAAGAUCACCGAGGCAAUUGACCUCUCAAUCCGCAUGGCAGAAACCGUAGCCCAAGCCAUGCAGCUUCCACCCGACCAGCUUCGACUGCCCGAGCAGGAGACUCCGAGGAAAAAUUAAAAGUCCAAAGAGCACAAGGAGGUACAGCUGGUCGACGGCAGCCCCGAGAAGACGACCCUCAUCGGGGCCAACCUGGACCCCAAAUAGGAAGAUGCGCUCGUCAGGUUUCUAAGGGACAACGUGAGCGUUUUUGCAUGGAAACCCGCAGACAUGCGCGGCGUCCCACGAAACCUGAUCGAGCACUCCUUAAACGUCUCGAAGACUGCAAGACCCAUCAAGCAAAAGAGACAACGGUUCGCUCGUGACAAAAAGGAGGCUAUUAGGACAGAAAUAACGGGGCUUCUAGCAACCGGAUUCAUUAAAGAAGUGUAUCAUCCCGAAUGGCUUGCCAAUCCUGUUCUUGUAAGAAAAAAGAACAAUGAAUCGAGAAUGUGCGUUGAUUACACUGAUCUCAAUAAACACUGUCCUAAAGAUCCUUUUGGUCUCCCUCGCAUCGACGAGGUGGUCGACUCAACGGCCGGAUGCGAACUCCUCUCUUUUCUAGAUUGCUACUCUGGUUAUCACCAGAUCUCACUAAAGGAAGACGACUAGAUCAAAACAUCUUUUAUCACUCCUUUCAGUGCGUAUUGCUAUACGACCAUGUCCUUCGGACUCAAAAACACUGGAGCCACUUAUCAACGGGCUAUUCAGCAAUGCCUCCAUGACGAGAUUCGUGAUGACCUCAUCGAGGCCUAUGUAGACGACGUCGUCGUCAAAACAAGUGGAAGCACUCUAAUCGACAACCUAGACCGAACCUUUAAGGCGCUAAAUAAAUACAAGUGGAAGCUUAGCCCCAAAAAGUGUAUCUUUGGGGUCCCCUCCGGUCUGCUACUCGGCAACGUCAUCAGCCGCGACGGCAUAUGACCGAAUCCCUCAAAAGUAAAAGUGGUGCUCGACAUGCGACCACCCAAGAACGUCAAGGAUAUUCAAAAGCUCACCGGUUGUAUGGCUGCUCUCAGCCGUUUUAUCUCUAGACUGGGAGAAAAAGGCCUUCCCUUCUUCAAACUUCUAAAAGCAUUGGAAAAAUUCUCCUGGAUAGAGGAAGCUGACGCUGCGUUCAACUAGCUCAAAACAUUCCUCACCUCACCACCCGUUCUCACAGCACCUCAACCCAACGAGGAUCUGCUCCUUUACAUAGCAGCGACCUAUAGGGUUGUCUCCACGGCAAUGAUGGUCGAGCGAGACGAGCCAGGCCACGUAUACAAAUUCCAGAGACCCAUUUAUUUCAUAAGCGAAGUCUUAAGUGAGUCCAAGACCAGGUACCCUCAGAUACAGAAGCUCAUCUACGCCAUCUUAAUAACUUCAAGGAAUCUAAAGCAUUACCUUGACGGUCAUCGUGUCCUGGUAACCACCAGUUUCCCUUUGGGGGACAUUUUGCGCAACAACGACGCCAACGGCAGAAUUGUAAAAUGGUUAAUGGAAUUAUGCCCAAUCUCCCUGGAUUUCCAGAGCCACACUACCGUCAAGUCUCAGGCCCUGGUCGAUUUCAUCGCAGAAUGGACGGAUCUCAACGAGCCCUCCAUUUCGGACACUCCCGACCACUGGUCGAUGUUCCUCCACGGUCCCUAAACAUCAAUGGCGCCGGCGUCGGGAUACUCUUCAUGUUGCCUAACAAGGACAAACUACGCUACGUCCUUAGGAUCCUCUUUCCAGUGUCGAACAACAUCGCCGAAUACGAAGCAUGCCUACAUGGCAUACGACUGGCUGUCGAACUGGGAGUCAAUCGCCUCUACGUCCACGGCGACUCUGCCCUGGUCAUCAACCAGCUAAACAAAGAAUGGGACACAACCCACGAAAAGAUGGAUCUCUACUGUAAAGAAAUUCGCAAAUGGUAAUCCAAUUUCUACGGCAUAGAAUACAUCCAUGUGGUCCGGGAAAGGAACCAGGCAGCAGAUGCGCUGUCAAAGUUAGGAUCAUCCCGCGCCCAAAUUCCGCAAGGCGUUUUUGUUCAGGACAUCCACACGCCAAGUGUGGGUACAGACCUGGUUGAAAAGCAACCCAAUGAGGCAAUGCUCAUAGACGACACCACUCCGGCAACCAGCAGCCGUGAUUGGCGCGCCCCCUUCAUCAGGUAUAUAUCGGAUGGAUCGGGUUUUCAAGAUAAAACGGAGAUCGAGCGCCUCAUUCGACGGUCCAAGAAUUACAUACGAGUGGAUGGCAAACUUAUGCGAAAGAACACAAUUUCUAAAGUGUUGCUCAAAUGCAUAUCUCAAGAUGACGGCGUCAAGCUUUUAGAUGACAUACACGCCGGGUCCUGCGGCAACCACGCGGCCUCCAGAACACUAGUAGGGAAAGCCCUCCGAGCAGGUUUUUACUGGCCAAAUGCGGUCGCCGACGCCGAGAAACUGGUCCGACAUUGUGAAGAAUGCCAGUUCUUUGCCAAGAGGACCCACGUGCCUGCUCACGAAAUUCAAACUAUUCCGUCGUCCUGGCCUUUUGCCUGCUGGGGUCUCGACAUGAUCGGGCCAUUUAAGCCGGCCCCCGGCAAUUUCAAGUUCGUCUUCGUACUAAUCGACAAAUUCUCGAAGUGGAUCGAGUACAUGCCACUAGUCAAAGCAACCUCUGAGAAGGCUGUGGAAUUCCUCAAUCAAACCAUACACAGAUUCGGGAUCCCCAACAGCAUAAUUACUGACCUGGGCACUCAGUUCACUGGCACUACAUUCUGGGAUUUCUGUGAUGACAGGGGCAUAGUCAUAAAGUACGUGUCAGUGUACAUGCCACUAGUCAAAGCAACCUCUGAGAAGGCUGUGGAAUUCCUCAAUCAAACCAUACACAGAUUCGGGAUCCCCAACAGCAUAAUUACUGACCUGGGCACUCAGUUCACUGGCACUACAUUCUGGGAUUUCUGUGAUGACAGGGGCAUAGUCAUAAAGUACGUGUCAGUAGCUCACCCACGGGCCAACGGUCAAGUAGAGUGAGCAAAUGGAAUGAUUAUUGAUGCUCUAAAGAAAAGGCUGUACACCGAGAACGACAGAGCACCAGGACGAUGGAUGAAAGAGUUACCGGCUGUGGUCUGGGGACUACGAACACAGGCUAGUCGCAAUACUGGUGUAUCACCCUACUUCAUGGUUUACGGCACCGAAGCAGUGCUCCCGUCUGACGUAUGCUUUGGAUCUCCAAAAGUCAAAAAUUUCGACCAGUCUUCGGCCGACAUCGCCAGGGAAGUUGAAAUCAACUGCAUGGAAGAAAAGCACCUAAUCUCAUGCCUUCGAACAGCAAAGUAUCUCAAGGCCAUUAGGCAGUAUCACAACAGGAACGUCAAAGACCGUUCCUUCGUGGUCGGUGAUCUGGUACUCAAGUGGAAAACAAGCCAAGAAGGAACGCACAAGUUAUCCACACCUUGGGAAGGACCCUUUGUGGUCGCCGAAGUCACACGCCCUACAUCUUACAGACUGGCAUACCCAGACGGAACACGCCUGCCUAAUUCUUGGCACAUAGACAAACUGCACCGUUUCUAUCCAUAAGUUCCAGUACUUUUCGUUUGUAAAUUUCUUAUGAUUAGCAAUAAUAAAAUCUUUUCUUUUCCGCUAUAUACUUUUUUAUACGCAGAACUUUCGACAACUGCCACAAUCUCCUUCUAGGACCAAGAUCCUUAAUGAUUAUUAACUCAACUCAGUGAUACAUCACUCACACAAUGUUGCAGCGCUCAAAACCAUGGUUAUGACAAAUCAAUCUUUAUUACAAACUUUACAUACAAAGUUUACAAUAAACACCCCUCUAGGCGGUCCCUAGUCUACUCCUACAGACUACUCUACAGGUCUACUGCUCGGGCUGAUCACCCGCACGGCCCUGCCCCAUCUCUGGCAAUGGACGCUCCUGACAAAUCUCUAGCCGACCUGUCUAACCCAGGCUGAUCGGGGGGAGUUGCUGUCUCGUAGAGGUUGAUGUCGCCGAUCACUGUCGACGACAGAUCAAGCAGACCAACGCGAAGGUCGUCUGCCUCCUGUGGACGAACCUCCUUGGGGUACCCCCUCUCCAGUCGGGACAGGUCGACCAGAGGAUAGUGAGCGCGCACCGUGCUAAGGACGUGCGCGCCGGCGAAUUCCCGGCAUCCAUGACAAACUGUUGGAGCCAGUCCCACGCCCGUUGCGCCUUCUCGACCGGAGUCAGCUUCGGUGCGCAGGGCUGGUCUUCAGGGAGCUCGGGGCUGAUCAAAUCAAGAACUGGGGCCACUCCUUUCCAAAGCUUGAUGCAGUUGGCCUUCCAGGAGUCCCGGUCCUUGAUCAGCUCGUCGAGGUGCUUCUUGGUGUUUACUUUGAGCACUGAGAACCAAGCAGGAAGUUAGUGCGCACAUAAGACAAGGAACGUCGAGCAAUCAAAGAAGAAGGCAACACAGUUCUUACCAGUCAACUCCCGAUUCUUGUUGCUUAACUCCUCACCAGCUCGGUGCCCGGCCUCCAGCGCGCCGGCAUGCUCCUGGUCGAGCCUCUCUUUUUCUUGUCGGAGGCGCGCAACCUCCUCCUCCAAGUCUGCAGGAGCAAUUUCUGGUCAACAAAAACGACUACAUGGUUAUAUACAGCUGCUCAGAAUACAUGACUGACCUCUCCUUUCCCGAUCCUUGUCGGCCAACCGCCGAUUGAGAUCGAGCAGGCGCUCUUCCUGAGCACCAUCUCGGUCGUCUUCUCCUCGGCCUCCGUCCGAAUCCGGUCUACCUCCGCGGACAGGGCCUUGUUCUCAGCCACGAUCCCCUCAAUCUGGUCGAAGCACCUUUUCCGGUACUUCAUCGUUUUCAUUGCACCCUACAGGAGUUACGCAUUAAAGUAAGCAACAACGCAUAAACAUCUCAAGCAGAAUACAAGACCACUUACCUUAACCUCGUCAACAAGACGCUUGGCUGCGCGCUCCACCCUCGCGGCCUCCUCUGUCUCUGUGAGAUCUUCAUGACCAAUGAAAUAGUCCCCGCGUUGGCGCCACACGUAAACGUGUUGGCAACCAUCAUGGGGACAGCCUUGGAUUUCCUCUACUUCGUCGUCGGAGGUCGCCCGGGUUUUACCGGACCCUGAACUCGGCUAGGGGAGCCCUUUGGUGAAGAGGCCUCUACUCGGGGUGGAGUCGGGACCCUCCUCCCUUCAGAAGGCGGGGAAGUCGGAGCUCUGUCCUCCUCCUCCGUGACACUGCUCGGGGGAGGUAUCCUCGCAGACUCAACAUCCCCAACAGGGGUGCUCGCUCGGGUCCUCGCCGGAGCUGGAUGUUCCUCGGCACUCUCAGCCACGGUCGUCGCUGCGGGCUGCUCCUCAGGAUGCUCCUGGGUGGUCUGCGGCGUGGCAUCUUCAACGACAGUCACGGGUUCGGCCGUCCUCUGGCCAGCAAUGUUGUCAGGGUCGAUGUCCGACGCCGCGCUAACGAAAAAUGUGGCAUUUAACCAAUGUCAAAAGUAGCAGCAACAAACACAAAAAUAGGAGGAAGCGUAAAAGUGAGAUUGAACAACUUAUAGAUCUGAGCGCCUGUGCGUCGCUGUGAAGAACCUUCUCCUAGUCCUACCAGUCGCCGCCGCUGCCCCUGUCUCUCCAACACGCGUCGGUUCCACGUGUGGGGCAGGAGGGUCGCCGGUCACCCGAUCAGUAGUGGCCGGCUAAACGUCCGGACGGCUACGCGGCCUUCGAACCAAAGAUGGAGCAGCCUCCUCCUCGUCGUCGUCGUCGGCGAUCCUAACGAGUCGACGGCACUUCGGAGCUUGGCUGGUCUCUGCCGGCAGCACCUCCGCCGGAGAUGGAUCCACCGCCAUUGGCCUUUUCCCCGUCACCCUGUCCUCGGUGAUCGGGGCGGGACGGUUCUGCUCCUCCUCACUGCUGGUGUAUUGAGGACACCGAGCAGCAUUGCCUUCCGGCGGGUCCAUCCCUGCAGGGUUUUUCAUACCAGGUGCCAGUGACACGUACACUGCGCACAGGUCAAUGUCUCCAAUCUGCAGUAGAACCAUCGACAAGUCAUCAACUUAAAGGACAAGGACAAAAAUGAGCAUUACUAGUCAAUAACAUUAUUUAUUUACCUUAGGAGCUGGUCGUCCAAGCUUGAAGGCGUGCACCCGAUCACUGCUUCGAACGAAGUUGUCGUCCGUAAAGUUAAACAGCUCGUUCAUCAGCUGCUGCACCUCCGCCUUCUCCAGACCAUCAGGGCUCAUUCUGGUCGGGUCCUAGCUCCCAGCGUACUCGUAUGCCGAGUGUACCCUCCUCUGGCAGGGCAUCACCCGACGAACAAUAAAGUUACCGACCACUCCUGGCCCGUCUAAGCGGGACCAGUCGAUCAGUUUCCCCAAGUCUGCCACCUGACCAGUGAAAUCCGGGCGGUCCGUCCAGCUGACCCUCUUCUCGGUGAUGUAGCCCACGUCGCAGAACGUGGAGCUGCCCGGCUCUUCGCUGAUAUAGAACCACUUCUUGUACCAUUCGGUGAGAGAAGUGUUCCAUGGGCAGUUGAGGUACCGGUUCUUCAUCCCAUCGCGCAGAUUGAGGUAUACUCCACCUGCAAUCUUAGAGCAUCCAACUGCUUCUUUCUUCCUCAGACAAAAAAGAUAGCGAAAAAGAUCGAAGUGCGGCUCUAUCCCAACAUAGGCCUCGCACAAAUGAAUGAAGGUGGAGAUGAGAACAAUAGAGUUCGGGUGCAGGUUGCAGAUCCCGAUCUCAUAGUAAAGAAGAAGGCCCUGGAGGAAAGGGUGGACAGGAAUCCCAAAGCCCCUCUUAAAAAAAUCUUCAAAAACUACAAUCACACUGGCACGGGGGUCGGGGUAGCUUUCCCCUUCCGGCGCCCGCCAGCCGCCGAGCUCUUGGUUGUGAAGUAGCCCCAUUCCGACGAGGUCGUUGAGGGACCUCGUGCUGCUGUGGGACUUCUUCCACUCAUUCGCCAUCAGUUCAGCCCUUUUCUUCAAGUCACUCUUCGCCAUUGACACUGCAGAAGCGAUUGCGAGUUGGACGAUUAAAGAUGGAGGUUGCAGAAGGCAGGAAUGGCAAGAACAAAAGGCUUGAAGGCAAAGGCAGGGUAAAGAUUAAGGGCGUGGUGUUGAGUCUUUAUAGGCAACGGCUCCACCUCUUCCACUUCCCGCAUUCUUGGGAAGUGGGCAGGCCCUACGGCGGAUGCGGCGUUUCGGUUUUCAAUAAUCAUCGGCAGUUAAUACGGUGGCUUUUCUGUAUAAUUGGUGGUUUCCUUUUCUUGAACCUCGCAAAGAGCGGCUGUACAGUUACCUGGCGCACCUUUUCAUGCAACCGUCUGACAAUACGUCAGGUGCCUUGUCACAUCACAUAUUAAUGUGGUCAGAUACUUUUUCCAAAAGACAAAUAAAAUUGGUGGAGCAUUAUGCGUAACAUACCUGGGGAUUGUACCGAACACUGUAUGCUUGGGGACUGGUCUACCAGCCCACCAAUGUGAGCUUUUGGGAACCGUACCGACCACCGAGCACUGUAUGCUCGGGGACUGGUUGGUCAGUCUACCAGUUUGAAAUUUUGAGGACUAUACCGACCACUGUAUGCUUGGGGAUUGGUCGACCAGCCCACCAAUUUGAGGUUUUGGGGACUGUACCGACCACCGAGCACUGUAUGCUCGGGGACUGGUUGACUAGCCCACAAAUUUGAAGAGUUCGGGGACUGGUCGAUUAGCCUAUUUGCAGACGUGCAUAAUAUGCUCGGGGACUGGUAAAUUCAAUUUUUAGACCUUGCUACAAAGCUCAUACUUCGCCUUCAAGCAAGCUCGGGGACUACAUCGGUACGAUGCAUCUGGCGAUGCAUCACAGUUUUGAAAUUUCUAUGGAGACUUUUUUGACCUUGGCACUGUUGACGGUCCUUAAUGCUCAUAUUUAACCAACAAUUAAUCAUAGAAAAGGAUCCAAAUGCAACCAACACCUAGACUUAUGGUUUUAUCUGACAGAAUUCCACAAGUUCUGGUGUUUGUCUAUUUCUGCUGGGGGUUAUCAGGAAAUAUGGAAGAAAGGCCCACACGUCGGGUUUACAUAGAGAUAUUAACGUGCCGCGCAAUUUUCUAUCAUCUAGAAGACUCCAGAAGCCACGGGACCGAAGCGGAAGCCGAGAGGCCUCAGGGACAGGGCGCCCGCCCUCCCCCCUGGACCAAUCAGGGUGAAGUUCGGGGAUUAUGCUCCACCGACCUAAUACUUCAAGGAAAACCACACGAUCAAUGUCGGUUUGAUCCGACUGCCCAGAUUCACUUGAAGGGACUAUAAAACUAGACCCCCCCUGGCCCCUGGAGAUCAUACCUCUUCUACAGAAUCAAAGCUAGGGUUUCAAUUCUUCAUCCAAGUAGAGAGGAUCCCUCUAGUUCUUCUAGUUCUACCUCUAGUUCAUCUAGAUCUAGUUCUAGUUCAUCUAGUUCUAGUUCUAGUUCCUCUAGUUCUAGUUCUAGUUAGUUCUAGUUGUAAUCUAGAAAAUAGGGAGAGAGAAGAGGAGAGCGGAGGAGGAGCCGGAUCUGUCGGAUCUUCCUCAACAUUAUACUUUUGCAGCAUCUGGUUCGUUCUUCAUCGUUCUCCAGGUUCUUCAAUUCAUAAUUCCUGAGUUCUUUAAUUACUUUUAUUUACAUUCAAGUUAUUUAUUGGAUUCCCGCUUGCAUCAAGUGCUCUAGUCUUUAUAACGCUAGAGUAGUAAUUAAUAGAUUAGACGUGGUGUUUAGUCUUGCAAUUACCUGGAAUUGCACCCAAUCCCACGGAUUGUUGUGGUAGCCCUAGGGUAGUGACAGCCCUAACGGUCGACGUAUUCCACCACGUUCGGAUUGGUGUUUCUAGGACCGUAGUCAGACCUUCCUAGCCCCCUUCUCAUCUCUUUCUGUGGUUAGUGCUCUGAUGUCCCGAUAUAGAUAAUCUUGAAGUAAUUCUUGAUUCUUAGAUCAACUAGAGAACUCUCAGGAAACUUCCUCUCUUUCCACCAAAAAUAAUUAUAUAGUUAUCUUUGGGCGAUCUUGGAUCUUAAUUAGUACACUCACGUUCUCUGUGAAAAAUCGAUACUCUGGAAUACUCCCAGGUGAAAGCUACAUCGGUAUCCGUGCGCUUGCGGAUUUUUUCUGUUUGCGUUUAAAAUACCCAACAAGCUUUCUGGCGCCGUUGCCGGGGAACGGUAGCUGUGCUAGUUUCGAACCAAGUCUUCCGUGUAUCCUUUUUCUUUUCCUUUUUUACCACACUCACCUUAUCAUUUUCACCGUACCACAUGGAUUUCACUCUAAGCAUUAAUGAGCAUGGAAUUUAUUUCAUAGCCACUUCAUUUACUCCAGGCUCAUAUGCAACAUCUUCACAAUCCAUUGGUCUCUCCAACAUCACCACAUUCGAGAUCUCCAACCCCCUCUUCCUUUCUAUUCAUAAAAACUUUAAAACGGCGGUUGUCAAUGCAUAUGUCUAUAAUAAAUUUUGCAGAUCUCGUUGAGUUGAUCUUGAUAUAGGUCAGCGUUGGAGGGGAAACCAGUUCACUGACAUAAAUUGAUGGUUUCCCAAGGACAAGCUUAGUGUCCUAAAACAAGCACUGAUCAGAUCGUAACAUGAGCUUUGAAUUAUUUGCAACAUUACCUUGUGUGUUGAGCAUAUAAGAAUAAUUGUAAAAAUAUUCCUUCUGGUAUUCUUGUCACUAACCUUUCCAGGAUUGGAGCAAGAAGAUCGGAUGAAUGACAAGCACAAGGUAUGUCCAACCAAUCAUCAUGCAACAUUGAAUUAAAUUCAUCCAAUCUUGAAUUUUGCAAAAUUCAAGCUUGGGGGAGUACUUUACAUAAAAACAUUCUUUGCCAUGUUGCUAUGUUGGUUGUCCCUACCUUUGAGACAUGCUCAAUUUUGUUAAAUACUAAUCACACUACUUCAUCCCCACUUGAGUAGAUCUCUAUAAAUGCUCUCAUGCUACCUUUAUUUGCUUUAGUAUAUGUCUAGGUUUGGAGUAGUUUCAUUUAUCUCCUAAUUAAGCAUGGUGCUUAGUUUAGGGCUGAUGAUCUUACUUCCAAGGGAGUUUAAAUUAAGCAUGAUGCUUAGGUUAAAAUGCCCUCCUAAAUCAAAUUAGACAUGGUGUCUAGGUUGAUUUUUGAGCCGAUAGUAUGCUAUAGUAGAUAUUGGAUAUUUUGUUGGACUAACCCCUGCAGGAAAACUUUCAAUAUCAACCUGGGAAGUCCUGAGAUAAACUCACAUUGGAGACAAAGAGAGAAGCACAUGAAGGUUAACAAUUUACACAAGGAAGGCAUAGCUCAGAAGAGAUGAUCCAUGGAGGGUGCUACAAACACGAUGCACAACCGCUAAGAAAGGAAAGCUUCCACAAGGUGAUAUUGUACCAUCACUCUUCAAGUAAGGUAACAUCUUAAGGUACUUGACUAUCACUUCUAUAAGCUUCUCCUUGGUUCUAGCAUUCACAUGAAUAAAAGAGACAAACAUGUAUGAUUUACAAUUCUAUAUUAACCAAGCCAAUCGAUUCAAUAUGUUUAGUCCUUUCACCUUUGUGAUCCCACACUAAAUGUUGCACACACAAUCUUUGGAAGAUAUAUAUAAAAAAAAGAGAUAAGUAUAGAUAGAUUAUCUUUCCAUUAGGUUGAGUGAUCUGAUCUGACGAAUGUUUUAAAUGCUACACUCAUGAUCUUAUUAUCCAUCAACUUUGUCUUGCUCACUAUGCUUAAGGUUAGAGAAGAACAAAUACACUUUUGGUUCUGUUGGUGUUUUCCACCAACAGGGCCCAUGCACUUGAUCUCUGCCUUGUCUCUAUGAGCAGGUACACUUCGAGCAAAAUAUGAAGGAGUUUUACAACUCCCAGACUCCACCAAGUGAAGAACCUAGAUCUACGAGCACAAACACACUGGAGAUACUGGACACUCAGGCAAUCACUGCCCUGAGAUGUUUGAGGAUGAAACUACUGGAGUAACCCCGUUGUGGAAGUAAUUACUGACCUUCUGCCGGUCAAGAGAGACAAUCUAGGACGCCCCGUCAUCCCGAUCUCCAUCGGCAUGGCGGACUUCCGAGAAGCACUCUACAACUUUGGCUCCAGCGUCAACAUUAUGCCCAGGGGAAUAUUGAAGAACCUCUGCGUCCGAGUUGGUACCUUGUACGCCCCAGCAGACUUCGUGGUGAUAGAGACCGGUUUUGAUGAGAAGGCACCCGUCAUACUAGGGAGGCCAUUCCUGAACACCUCGGGAGCUGUCAUCUACACUAGUGCUACCAAGAUCAGAUUCUACAUCAAGGGGAGGAAGGAGACGUUUUCCUUCAGGAACAAGACUACACAAAUCCCAGAGCAAUCCCGACAUGAACCAAGGAAGAGGACCAACAGGAGGAAUAAGAACAAGCAAAUGUGUACCGAGUCAGCUAAGAUGGUCACUACAGCUCAAGGAUGUCAAGAUCGUCAACUCAAGUCACCUUUCUUGAUCAAGAAGGACGACCCUGGUGUCCCAAGCAUCGAGUGCACAAUCAACGGAUAUUCUUUUCAGAAGACACUCUACGACACCGGAUCUAACGUCAACAUAAUGGCCGCAGUCACUUAUCAGCUCCUGCAUGGAACCAUGUCCCUACAACCAACAUACAUUCAGCUCCACAUGAUUUUAAGGUUAUUGACAUGGGAGAAGACAAGUACGAUCCACUCAUCAUCCUUGGAAGACCGUUCCUCAACACCGUUAAAGCAAUCAUCUACAUUGGAACUGGAGAAGUCCACAUGCACUUCCCCUCUAACAAGGUACGCCGCUAUUUUACUGACCCUAACUAUAUAGUUGAAGAUUCUAAGCAGGUCAGGACAAGAAGAAGACGACGCAACCGCAACCAGAGGAGGCAAAUCAUCAAGGACGGAUGGGUAGACUACGAAGGAGAAGUAAUAAGGUCUCAAGACAUACAACUUGAACAGAACUGUCCUGAGGAGACCGUAGCACCGAGUCAGGUGUGUAAAGAGAAGAUAGUUAUACAUGAAGAGCAGGCGCCGCCGGAACCACCGACUACGCCACCCAGCGAAUCCCAGGACGACUGAGAAAACGGAGAAUCCCGUUCGGAGGACUUAAAAGCACCGAACGCCUUGCCAAGAGGUAAACUUGGUAGUUAUCCAUUUCCUUUCAAUUAUUUAAAAUAGUUUGCUUAGUUAAUCAGGUUCAUAUCAUCUCGAAAAGAAAAUAAAAAUGUUAAAAAAUAGUAAGCCCCAUGUGAGUAUGCUCAUGGCAUAAAACCCAUAAGUACAUUCACUGUGGUGGCAUAAAAAUAAAAUAAAUAUAUUUAUACGCUAUAAAAAUGAGAAUAUAAAAAUAAAUUCAUGAUGCUACUAAAGAGUGUAACAUUUAUUGAGGAGGCUCAACAUGAUAAAGGCUAGAUAUUUAUGCUAACACUUAACUAGUUUCACAAAGCUUUGUUGUCUAUUUGAGCUCCACAGAAUUUAAGGAUCAAAGAAGACUAGCAGACGGAGGACAUCCUAAUCGCUAUCAGGGUGUUGCCGACAUUCAAAUACACCUCCGCCACCUGCUAGCUACAUCAGAAGAAAUUACAUCAAAAUCCAGCUUGGGGGAGAGCACCCCCAUUUAUCCAGCUAAGUAUUCUACUCACGUUUAUACUUUACUCUAUUAAUAAAAAGAUGCAUAAUCAUAAAAACCCAAAUAAAGAUUUUGUGCUUAUAUAUAUAUCUUUGCUUAGCUUGCUAAAUAAAUAAAUAAAUAAAGUUUGCUAUGAACCCUCAUGAUAAGCUCUCACAUGGAAAUGAUGAAUAGUUGCUCUGCCAUGAUUAGUUAUCAAAAUUUAAAUCUCUCUCAAGUUUAGGCAUGACUGUUAUUAAUUAAGAUUUGCUCUAAACCUGAACUUGUGGAGAGAGUACUUGAUCUAAAGUCUAAGUCGUUAACGGAUAUGAUAUGGGAAGGUUGAGCUGCUGUUUAUCUGUUCCUAGAGAUGCUAGAAUUCUGGAGAAUUUUAUCUUUGAAAAUCUUUAAAAUGUUGCAUGAUGAGUUCCUGUAUGAUGAGAGUUUAAAUUCCUACCACAGCCAUAUAUACAUGCUUGCUAGACUAUGAACCACACAUUUACUUUACUACUUAUGAGCAUUGAGUGUGGUCAAGCUGUGUAGACCCUUAGGAGCUUGUCAUGUGGUUAAAAUCAAGAUUCACUUGCACGUUCACUCAUACAUGCUGCUUCUACUCCGGAAGUACGCAUCCACAUAUAUCCAUCCAUUUCCAUCUCCAGAACCACCCAAAAAUAUUCUACUCCUAAUCCGGGAGAGAAUAGCCAAAAAUAUUUCUAUUUUUCCCCUACGAAAUAAAUGCUCAAGUUAUCUUGUUACUACCACUUGUGAUAUUAUCUCAUGAGAUGAGUGCUCUAAUAAAAAAAAGAGAAAAAAAGAAAAAAAAAGAGAUACGAGGAAAUAAAAAGGGGCAAGUGCCCGAAACCUCGAAAAAAAAGUGAGACGAGAGGUAAAAAUGGACAAGUGUCCGAUAGUAGAAUUAGGGGUACAAGAUACCCACCUGAGAGAAAAGAAAAAAAAAGAAAAUAUAGAGCAUCUCAUUCUCCUCAAAAAGUUUCAAAACAGCAAGAAAGGUAUGUAUCCCCUCAAAAGAGCAUAAGUAGAAUUAGACUUCCACCAUUGUUAUCACCAUCAUCACCAUACACCAUUCAUUCGCCACACAUGCACAUCUUGAUUUGACUUAUUGACUUGUUCUUCUGGAUCCAUGGUUUGACUAUGCAAUAAAUGUCUUGUAAGUAUGUAUUAGCUGUCUCCCACCUAUGAGCUCCAGAUAUCAAAAGCCUUAUUAGAGUAGGGUGAGAGAGAAGGCAAUGCCACUAUGCCUCAUACCAAAAAUACCACAUACUUUGAGAGUAGGCAUACACCAUUACUGCCUUGGUAAGGAUCCAGAAAUACCACAAAUGAGAGACUAGAGAGAGUCAUACAAGGAAUCUCUGAGUUUUAUUUAAAAAUCUGCAAAAACCCAGAGCUAUGGCUGAUCAAGAAUAAGAGACAUGGUGCUUGACUAGACCGUUCUAUCUUUUAACUACUCAAGACAGAAGUGACGGUUACAAGUCCCAUGGUGAAAGGUAAAUGAGUAAGUUUUAAGUCUUAACAGUUUACUCUAACCAGAGAUGAGAUCUUGUUUAAACGCAUCUGUAUCUUUAAGUUAUGAAACCACUGCAGAAACUCUUGAGUCAAUCUUUGCUCAGGGACGAGCAAAGGUUAAGCUUGGGGGAGCUUGUUGACGGUCCUUAAUGCUCAUAUUUAACCAUCAAUUAAUCAUAGAAAAGGAUCCAAAUGCAACCAACACCUAGACUUAGGGUUUUAUCUGACAGAAUUCCACAAGUUCCGGUGUUUGUCUAUUUCUGCAGGGGGUUAUCAGGAAAUAUGGAAGAAAGGCCCACACGUCGGGUUUACAUAGAGAUAUUAACGUGCCGCGCAAUUUUCUAUCAUCUAGAAGACUCCAGAAGCCACGGGACCGAAGCAGAAGCCGAGAGGCCUCAGGGACAGGGCGCCCGCCCUAGUCCUGAGGGCGCCCGCCCUCCCCCCUGGACAAAUCAGGGUGAAGUUCGGGGAUUAUGCUCCACCGACCUAAUACUUCAAGGAAAACCACACGAUCAAUGUCGGUUUGAUCCGACGGCCCAGAUUCACUUGAAGGGACUAUAAAACCAGACCCCCCUGGCCCCUGGAGAUCAUACCUCUUCUACAGAAUCAAAGCUAGGGUUUCAAUUCUUCAUCCAAGUAGAGAGGAUCCCUCUAGUUCUUCUAGUUCUACCUCUAGUUCAUCUAGAUCUAGUUCUAGUUCAUCUAGUUCUAGUUCUAGUUCCUCUAGUUCUAGUUCUAGUUAGUUCUAGUUGUAAUCUAGAAAAUAGGGAGAGAGAAGAGGAGAGCGGAGGAGGAGCCGGAUAUGUCGGAUCUUCCUCAACAUUAUACUUUUGCAGCAUCUGGUUCGUUCUUCAUCGUUCUCCAGGUUCUUCAAUUCAUAAUUCCUGAGUUCUUUAAUUACUUUUAUUUACAUUCAAGUUAUUUAUUGGAUUCCCGCUUGCAUCAAGUGCUCUAGUAUUUAUAACGCUAGAGUAGUAAUUAAUAGAUUAGACGUGGUGUUUAGUCUUGCAAUUACCUGGAAUUGCACCCAAUCCCACGGAUUGUUGUGGUAGCCCUAGGGUAGUGACAGCCCUAACGGUCGACGUAUUCCACCACGUUCGGAUUGGUGUUUGUAGGACCGUAGUCAGACCUUCCUAGCCCCCUUCUCAUCUCUUUCUGUGGUUAGUGCUCUGAUGUCCCGAUAUAGAUAAUCUUGAAGUAAUUCUUGAAUCUUAGAUCAACUAGAGAACUCUCAGGAAACUUCCUCUCUUCCCACCAAAAAUAAUUAUAUAGUUAUCCUUGGGCGAUCUUGGAUCUUAAUUAGUACACUCACGUUCUCUGUGGAAAAUCGAUACUCUGGAAUACUCCCGGGUGAAAGCUACAUCGGUAUCCGUGCGCUUGCGGAUUUUUUCUGUUUGCGUUUAAAAUACCCAACAGGCACCACGUGCCUACGUCACCUGCUACCAUGCUCGGGGACUAAGUGGGCACACUUCACCUUGCGGUGAAUAUGCUUGCUUUUUUGAAAGUCUGUAUUUUUCAAAAAAGUAAAGUGGGCACACUUCACCAGGAAAGAAAUCUUUUUUGAUUUAGAGCACCAUGCAUUCUUCGAACAACCUACUUCUUCGAUGUCGAUGUUGAUCAACUGUCUUUUGAGUUGGUUAAAAUUCAGUUGCAACUGUUUGGGCGACUUUCCUACUAAUUGAAGACGUCAAGCCUCAUUGGUCGAGGAAGCUCAAGACGGCGUGUUACAUCAUAAUACAUGGUGCUCGGGGACUAGCUGUGGGGGUAUAAACCCCUAAACCCUUACGGCUAGACUUGGGCCAGGAGGCUUGGCCCAUCACGAGGACAGUUCGAGACUUGAACCAACUGCUCAGAGUUUCGCGCAAGGAAACAAGACUGUUGAUAUUUGGUAAUGCAAUAAGGAAAUGAUCCGCAAGCGCAUGGAUAUCGGUGAGCAUUUCACCCGGGAGAUUAUCUAGAGUUAUCGUAUUUAUAUUUUUACCAUUGGGAGAAAGGGUGCAUCUGACUAACCAAAUCUAUUGCUACUACCCCUUUAGGCUACAAAGAAUGUUUCUUGAUGUGAGUGAUGUAUAGAGAAGACUGCAACCGUAGUCUACUUCUAACCUUGGUAAGGAUGAUCUACUGUUCUAUUGCGGAAGCUUACGGAAUCUAGACACCACAAAGGAUGUUCGACCCGCACCUAUAAACCCUACACUUCCUGCUAACGAGAUGUGGGAUACAAAGGUAACUCAGAAAUAUCACGUUCCUUGCUACUACCACUGUCCAGCUAGUCAGGGGAUAUCUAAGAGUACUCUAGCCUAAACACCACAUUUACGCUAGCAAUGAUUACUCUAAUACUCAACCGGAAGAGAUUAAAGUAAACUCAUAAACCUAAGAACAAUAGAACAAGAACUUACUAGAAUUAGAAGUCGAAUUACUGAAGAAUCCUAGGAGCAAGCCUCGGGUUAGAAGACUUGAUCCCACAGGUAUAACCUCGGAGUAGACACCGACAGGCCGGGCUUCCUCCGAUCUACACCUCCACUCUAUAUCUCUCAAUCUACUAGAAACUAGAAGAUCUAAUUCUACUCACAUUGGAUGCUAAGCCUAAAAUAAAUAUUUAUUUGGAGGAGAGGUAUUCCUUCGAGGGCUCCUCUCAACUCUAUGAUGAACUUGUUGUCCUCUAGGGGCCAGGGGGUCUGCUUAUAUAGUCCCCUCCUUUUGUGCCUUUUUGGUUCAGCAGGCAAUGUGGUACUAAACUUUCCAUCGUAUCUCAUCAAAAUGCACAUAGGCCUUAAUGGACCAAAAUCUGUUUUGGGGCCAAAUAAUCCCGCAGCUCUUUUAUGUGGAGUCCUUCUUUUUUUAAUAUCUAUUGAUUCCGAACUCCAAAUAUAGCAAGUAAUAUAUGCAUUUCGAUCAGCUCGACGAGAUCUUUGUAAUGGUGUACUCCGUUUUGUGAUUGGUGCUUGUACCAGGGCGGGCGCCCAAGGUGGGAGGGCGGGCGCCCUGCCCCCGGGCCCGUUCGGCCUCCCGUUCGUUCCCGUGGCUUCUGGACUCUUCUAAAUGAUAGAAAAUUGUGUGGCACAUUAAUAUCUCUAUGUAAACCCGACGUGUGGGCCUUUUCUCCAUAUUUCCUAAUAACCCCUUGCAGAAAUAGGCAAACACCAAAACUCAUGGAAUUCUAUCAGAUAAAACCCUAAGUAUGGGUGUUGGUUGCAUUUGGAUCAUUUUCUUUACUUAUUUGAUGAUUAUAUUUGGUACUUAAGGACCGUCAACAAACUCCCCCAAGCUUACCUCUUGCUCGUCCCUGAGCAAGGAUAGACUCAAAAGUUUCUACAGUGGUUUCAUGCCUUAAAAGUACACAUGCGUUCAAGCAAGAUCUCAUAUCUGAGUUAGAGUAAACUGUUAAGACUUAAAACUUAUUCAUUUUACCUUUUACCAUGGGGCUUGCAACCAUCACUUGUGUCUUGAACAGUUAAAAGAUAGAACAGUCUAGUCAAGCGCCAUAUCUCUUGUUCUUUGAUUAACUAUGGCUCUGGAGUUUUUGCAGAUUUUCAAAUAAAACUCAGAGAUUCCUUGUAUGACUCUCUCAAAUCUCUCUUUUGUAGUGUUUCCAGAUCCUUUCCAAGGCAGUAAUAGUAUAUGCCUUCUCUCAAAGUAUGUGGUAUUUUUGGUAUGAGGCAUAGUGAUAUUGCCUUCUCUCUCACCCUACUCUAAUAAGGUUUUGAUAUCUGGAGCUCAUAGGUGUGAGACAGAUAAUACAUACUUAUAAGACAUUUAUUGCAUAGUCAAACCAUGGAUCCAGAGAAACAAGUCAAUAAGUCAAAUCAAGAUGUGCAUGUGUGGCGAGUGAUUGGUGUAUGAUGAUGAUGGUGAUAACAAUGGUGAAAGUCUAAUUCUACUUUUUGCUAUUUUUAGGGGAUACAUACAUUUCUUGCACUUUGAAGCUUUUGAGGAGAAUGAGAUGCUCUACAUUUUCUUUUACUUUCCUCUCAGGUGGGUAUCUUGUACCCCUAAUUCUACUGUCGGACACUUGUCCAUUUUUACCUCUCGUCUCACUUUUUCUUUUCUUCGAGGUUCCGGGCACUUGCCCCUUUUUAUUUCCUCGUAUUUUUUCUCUCUUUUCUUUUUUGCUUUUCUUUUUUUAGAACACUCAUCUCCUAAAACAAUAUAGCAAGUGGUAGUAACCAAGAUAACUCGAGCAUUUAUUUCAUAGAGAAUAACAGAGAUAGGAUAAUGUUUUUGGCUACUCUCUCCCAGAUUAAGAGUAGAAUACUUUUGAGUGAAUCUGGAGAUGGAAAUGAGUGGAUGUAUGUGGAUGCGUACUUCCAGAGUAGAAGCAGCAUGUAUGAGUGAACGUGCAAGUGAAUCUUGAUUUUAACCACAUGACAAGCUCCUAAGGGUCUACACACCUUGACCACACUCAAUGCUCAUAAGCAGUAAAAAGUAAAUAUAUGAUUCAUAGUCUAAUAAGCAUGUAUAUAUGGCUGUGGUAGGAAUUUAAACUCUCAUCAUAUAGGAACUCACCAUGUGUUAUUUUAAAGAUUUUUCGAAGAUAAAAUUCUCCAGAAUUCUAGCAUCUCUAGGAACAGAUAAACAGCAGCUCAACCUUCCCAUAUCAUAUCCGUUAACAACUUAGAGUUUAGAUCAAGUACUCUUCCCACAAGUUCCGGUUUAGAGCAGGUUUAAAUUAUAACAGUUAUGCCUAAACUUGAGAGAGAUUUCAAUUUUGAGAACUAGUCAUGGCAGAGCAACUAUUCAUCAUUUUUAUGUGAGAGCUUAUCAUGAGGGUUCCUAGCAAACUUCAUUUAUUUAUUUCGCAAACUAAGCAAAGAUAUAUAUAUAUAAGCACAAAAUUUUUGUUUGGGUUUUCAUGAUUAUGCAUCUUUUUAUUAUUUGAGUAAAGUGUAAAUGCAAGUAGAAACACUUAGCUGGAUAAAUGGGGGUGCUCUCCCCCAAGCUGGAUUUUGACGUAAUUUCUUCUCAUGUAGCUAGCAGGUGUCGGGUGUGUAUUUGAAUGUUGGCAGAACCCUGACAGCGAUUAGGGUGCCCUCCGUCUGGUAGUCUUCUUUGAUCCUCGAAUUAUGUGGAGCUUCAAAUAGACAACAAAGCUUUGUGGAACUCUUGGCAAGGCGUUCGGUGUUUUUAAGUCCUCCGAACGGGACUCUCCGUUUUCUCAGUCGUCCUGGGAUUCGCUGGAUGGCGUAGUCGGUGGUUCCGGCGGCGCCUCCUCUUCGUGUAUAGCUAUCUUUUCUCUCCACAUCUGACUCGGUGCUACGGUCUCCUCAGGACAGUUCUGUUCAAGCUAUAUGUCUUCAGACCUUGUCACAUCUCCUUUGUAGUCUGCCCAUCCGUCCUUGAUGAUUUGCCUCCUCUGGUUUCGGCUGC